CCAAUUUUAGAAUGAACUCGAGGUUCACAAGCAUAACUCACGUGUAAGUCUCAUAGGGAAAGUCUCAUUGAACUACUCCCGAGACCGCCUGCGGACAGCACACAGACCGUCCAGACAGCACACUGACUGUCCCUCUAGUGACCAACCUCCGGAGUGCACAGCUUGUGGGGAGCGACCCCUCCAAGCGCAGACAGGCUAUGUGAGCACGAUCACUCACGAUCAACAACAACCUAUCCUCUGAGGGUAAUCUCAUCAUAGAAUCAUGGCGUUCUAAUACCCAAUCUCAGUGUUUCAACUACACUAGGGUUCUCAUGUCAUAAGCUAUCAACAAUCAUAUGCCACUCGUCAUAGUUUUCUAUGUUAGAUGCCACUUGCCACUUGCCAUUUUGACUCAUUUUCAACACUAGUUACAUCAUACUAGUUCUUUAGUAGCAGAAACUUUAAUCAUCUCAUAUAGGGUCUAGGUUUUCAUGCAUACUAGAUCAUGGAUCAAUCAACAAGAUAUAUAUAUAUAUACUAGCAUGCAAAUAUAAGCAACAACAAUCAUCUUCUAACCCUAUAUGAACUUGAGCAAAAAUGCAAUUAGAUCAAUAUUAAACUUAGACAUAGAAAGUAGCCCCGCGGCUUCGGGAAGGUCACCACCCACCUUGUGGUAGUGCCGGAAAGCUAAGAAACUCGGCGUCGCGAUCCACGUGCGCCGCUUCAACACCUGGGUCAAAACGAACCGUAGAGCGACCAAAUCGGCGAUAUCUCCGCGCUCGCUCGUCGGAUCGACGAACCGUCUUCGCCUACGCGUUCGGGAACAUAAUAAUUAGAUUUCCGACCCAUCAAAAUAGAUCAAAACCCUAUAUUCCCAAAAACCCCAAAAUCUAACCCUAGGUUUAGCACCCAUGGAAAAUCAUGGUUUCUAGCUUCAUUGUGAGCUAAAUCCAUGUCCUCUAAACUCAUUAGGUUCCAUUCGAUCCAUUAAAACCAACAAAAAGCUCCCAAAAUCCUAGAAUCUCAUAUUAGGGUUGAGGCUUACCUUUAGGAUUUGCUCCCAAGCAAGCCCUAGCUUGAGGAAGAGGAGGGUGAGAAGCUUCUUCUUCUUCUCCUUGAUCUUCUCCUUCCUUUCCUUCUUCUUCUCUUUCUUUCUCUCCUUCUUUUCUUCUUCUUCUCUUUCUUUUCGGUUAGAGAGAGAGAGAGCUAGGUGAGAGGGAGCGAGAGAGGCUGAGAGUGAGAGAGAGAGAGGCUGAGAGAGGUGUUAUAACCCUCUAAUGUAACAAAAUCCCAAAAAGCCCCUCUAUUUUCUAAAUUUUCGACCAGACCUGCUGUUUCGGGUCCCUUGUACCGGUACACGGGUCCUUGUACCGGUACAAGGCCUGGGUGACAGCCGAACCCGAGUGCAACCCGAGCGCUCGGUUUCUCGGUUUCGACGGGUUUGUACCGGUACAAGAAGGCCUUGUACCGGUACAACACCUGGAACCCUCAAACCCGAGAAACAUUGAUGGUUGUACCGGUACAACCAUCACCCUUGCACCGGUACAACAGCUCCAGAAAGCUAUUUUUCACCUCGCUUCAGCUCUACCUCACGCCGAUCGAUGUCAAAACCAUUCCAACACCUUUGGAACUCAUUUUUGCUCUUCCAAACUUGUUGGAAUGCCGAAUGGAACGUGUCCAAACCGUUCAAUUGCUCACUUUGGUCCAUUUGGCCAAAGUUAGCCAAAUUCCAUCGAGUUCAAUAUCUCACAUGGACUGACUCUCUAGGCAAUGUGAAUAGCUGAAUGCGAGAGUCGAGUCAUGAUAUUUGAGGGUGCCUUAGUAGCCCAGAGUUCCGGUUUUGAUCCGGUGGACCGAGUGGUGAUAGUGGAUCACUAUGGUGAGAAUAGUUUGACGGUCGCCAAAUUCUGGCGAGUUGGUCUUGUAGUACCUCAACCAAUGUAGUGCUUCUGAGCUUUGGAUAGGAUUGGCUUCAAUGUUGGUGACUGGUCGACACAUCUGGUGAGUGUCGGACUGAGUCGGAGUCGUUUCUGCACGAAAUAGAUGCAGAAAUGGACUCGGCACACUUAAAUUAGAAAAAUUAGAGUUUUGCCAGAUUCGGGCGCCUAGAACUGGCUUUGGGUCGCCCAGAAGUUGAGUGCAGAACUGAGCAGAACUGGAAGCCAAUUCGGGUCCAUAUUUCGGGCGCCCGGAUGUGGGUUCGAAAGUUCACCUCGUGAGUAUCGUUUGCGCUGACACGUGGCUGAUGGUAGGUGAGGUCCGCCGGAGCUGGUUAUGGGCGCAGCACACCGCGAGCGGAGAGUUCGAGGAGGAAGCUUUGUGUAGCCUGGAGGAUUCGGGCGCCCAUAAUGUGGGUCCGGGCACCCGGAAGUGCCCGAGUCUGCAGAGACACCAGAUUGCAGCAUCUAUUCUUGGGGCUUAUUCUACCAUUCCAGCACCCUAUAAAUAGGUGGAGAGUGACCCUGGUGAGCUCUUUUCACUCUCUCUUUACAGUAGCACCUCUGAUUUCUCCUCCACUCCUCGAAUUUCCUCAAUUUGCACCCAAUCUUUCAAUUGGAAGGUGGUGGAGUGCUGAUCCUGUAGUUUUUCAGCGACGAUUUUGGUGUUUUGGCUCGUGUGCGACGUAGGAAGGUCGGAUUGCGGUGAAACUUGGUUUGCUGGAUUCUAAACUUCCAGAGGAAUCCACGAAGCCCAGAAUUUUAGAUUUUGGUUGAGGUUAGCUUGGUCGAUUCUAUAUUUUUCUGGACUGCUGGUGACUUUGAUCUAAAAAUCUGUUUUCUUGGGUAUUCUUGAUGCUAUUCUUGGAAGGAGUGGGAUUUUGGACCUGAGGUUGAUACUCCAUCAUUAUUCACUGGAUUUGAAACUUGCCUCACCUGAAUUGGAGAUUAUUAGGUGAAUUUUGAUAUUGGAGUUGAGACAAUGUAAGCUUAAGUGUUGAAAUUUGGUGAAUUGAUGGAUUUUGAUGGAUUUUGGGUGUAGAUCCUUUGAGUAGCUUUGUUGCUGGUUGUGGGUGAUCUCGGCUAAGGCUACCAGCAUUUGUGACCUUCUUGCUGCCAGGGAAUUGCUCUAGAGGUGGGUUUAUCAUUGGUUUUGCUCCUAAGUAUAUGUACAGUAACAUGUAUAGUUUCGACUUCAGAAUAUCAUGUUGUAGCUCAAAUUCAUCGAUUGGUAUAAUAUAGGAAAUCUGAAUUUGGAGCAUGAAUAGUAAUUAGUUGAAUAUACAUGUUGGACUUGGAACUUGACUUAGGAGAAAACCAGCGAUUCGACCUGUCAUAUGAUUCUACUACUUGAUUUAGCUCUAGGAGCCGUGGUUUGAGUGUAUCACUGCUGUUUCAGCGCGAUGGAUACCCGGGGUAGUUUAGAAUGCAUUUACGCUUGUCCUAGGAUGCCGAGCUUAUUUUAUAGCAGAGUCUAGGCUGUUUCGGGUUGUCGGGUGCCGUCGGGGUGGACGGUGGACCCAGAUUUUUGGUCUCAGAUUGUGCCGAGGGCACGUGGGUUUCGUUUCUAGACCUGUUUUGACCCUAGCUACUUGACUUUGGUUUGUUAGAGCCUAAUUGAGCUCGACAGAGAUACGUUUGCAUACUCGGUUGGGUAGCGCCCACGAGUGCCACCGGAGUCGGGCUUAGUGCGUUUGCGUUUGUGUCGUUCGUGCAGGUUGGACUUGCUCUCUACGAACUGGUUAGUGUGGAGGUAGCUGUAUAGUUGCGACCAGGCGGGAUGGGUGUGUUCACGUCCCAGGGACGGGUAUGAUUACAGUCCUUAUUUGAGAUUGGGUCUGUGUUGACAUUGUACUACAGAGGGUUAGAGUUAAAGCAUGAUAGUAUAGCGAUAUUUAGCUGUAUAUUUGUUCCAGCUUUCUUUACUAUUCCUGCUUAUCCCUGUAGACUUAGUGGGUGGACCGAUGAGUUUGAGGGCGGUACCCACUGAGGACUACUUGUUUUUACAGUAGUUCUCACACCUUGUUGUUACCACUGUUUUGCAAAGCCGUCGCCUUCGGCUGCUGCUGUUGCUGAUCUUGAUUGUGGCAAAGGUGUCGCGAGUUAGAGCCCUUCUAGUCGAGUCGCAGAGCUAGAGGAGCUCCAGCUACAGGUAGUUGUAGUUUUUGGGUCUUUACAUACAGUUAUUAUAUCUCGCCAGAGCGAGUGUUUAUAUACCUGGAUGACAUGUAUGUAUUGAACCACAGUUUAUAUAUUUGGUUUAUUUUUCUAGCUGCUCUAUACUACUGUUUGUGGUAUUGUAUGAUUACAGGUACUACUUUUUCGCUUCGUAUACAGAGGAAUUACCUAUGUAUACGGCGGGUCUGUUAGCGAGCCCGAGGAACGAGUAAUCCGGGACGUGACAACCAAGGUGGGGGAAAUUGUGCUCACGUACUUGUGAGCAUAGGCAAGGUUGCCUAGUGCUUGAUUUAAAAUGGAAAGGCGUAAGACGCUCGAGUAUAGGUACUCGUGGAGUGCGAAUUUGGUUCAGCCUAGAGAGUGUGUUGGCAGUAGCACUUGAGCGUUGCUAGGUCUAAAGUAGGUCAUGGAUCACUUGUAGUGCUAGUGGCUCUCACUAGGUUCUUAGGAGCCGAAAGAGAUAUGUAUUGCUCGGCAGAGUGUGUCGUGAACGACGACGAUGGCGGAUAUUACUUGAAGACGAUCCGUGCCUCGACCAUUUGUGGACUGUAGAGCUUGGGGUCAUGUGGAUAGGCGUAGUCAGCUGUGUGGGAGAGCGGCCCGAUACCUAUGGGUAGGGCAGAGGUUUGUUGAGGUCACGCCUCCUAUUCCUGUGAGCUCCGGAGUUGUAUCACAGUGAGAUUAAGACAGGAGAGAGAGGCAUGACGAUGCGCUCCAGGCGGACGAGUCACGUGUUGACAGGCGAGUGCGGUUCGACCAACCGGCGGCGAACUGCUUGGAUUUGGAUCAAGGCAUGUUCAUGGCAUUUCAUAUAGUGAUGCAUUAGAACAUUGAUAGUUAACAUUGUUAAAGAUAUAGUAGAAUCUUGACAUAUUUGGUAAAGGCAUAGUGAUACAUUUGAAGCAUGAUAUAGAUGUAUAUGUGCAUGUUGGGCUUAUUGUUUCUAUCUUCCUUAUCAUAUUGACCUUUCUAUUGUCUCUAUGCCUUCUUAGACCUAGUGAAAAAAUUGGAGGGGUUGGCAGCCAAACCCACUGGGAACUUUGUUUGGUUUUCACACCCUGUUUUCCAAAGCCAAGCGCGAGCGCAUUCAUCGAGGACGUGGCUUGGGCGUUGAGCCCUAGAUAGUGUGGACCACCGGGACUAGAUUACUACCCCUAUGCAUAGCAAGAAAAGAAAAGAAAUGCAUAACCCUUUGUGAGAGAUUUUGAGAUGAAAUAAUGGCGUAUAUGUGAGAUAUCCUUUUGUAUAUAAAGGAGAUGUCAAUUUGUAUGUAAAUGAGAAGUUUAAAGAAUUUAAAUGUGAAAAUGCGAUGUAAUAGAUAGCUUUAUUUCUCUCGCAUCUGUGUAUACCUCUUGCAAAUAUUUUGUUGCUAAUAUCUCCUGUGUCGGGUUGUGACAACACAUGUCCACACGCAUCUACGGUCUACACUGCACCAAGUACACCAAAAAUAGCUUAAGGACAUGUGUCAUAUCUUGAUCUGGAUGAUCUCCACCUUUAUUUAUAAAACACUGAAAGUAUCUACUAGUAAGCUUCAUAACAAUACAAAUAAACUAGUUCUGUUUUCUACUCCAAAACUCGUCUAAAUUUUAAAUAUUUCGACUUCAACUUUUAGUUAAUCUAUUCUUUUAGUUCUAAAACUCUAGACUAGCUCCUCCACUUAUAUGAAGUUUACUCUACUGAUAAAAGACAGUUCUUAAACCUUAACAUGUAGUUCACUGACGUGGAAUAUGUGGAGUUAGAUUACCUCAACGACUUGCGUUUUUAUCUUGAAACUACCUAUACCAUUUAAGCUACUAAUAAUCAAGUCCACGUGGGCUCUUGAACACCCCCCUUCGAAACUAAAGACGUACACACUAAAAUUUAUCCUAAGGGGUGUUCUUAAGAUUAUAAAGAGGAAUACUCGAAACCUUUCCAUCCUUCGGAUUAAACUUAAUAAAAUUUCACACCCCCACGGAUCGAUUUCAAUUCUAUGGACUCUUGUUCUUUUCCUUCUAACCAGGAUUCUGACAUCUAUGUCAAAAAUAUCCGAAACGAAAUCUAUCAUUGUGGUUGUCUAAAGAUCACCACUUAAGACUCUAUUCACUCUAAAGAUUAUUAUGGUAAUAACUUCGAUCUCUACGUCACAUAAAACUCCUAUAGAAAGGAAAAUCCUGAUCUCAUCUAUCUGGAUGAGGUCAACUCAAAACACAGGAUGAUCAACUUCUAUGAGGAAGAUGGAAACUGGUUCGAUACUUCAGACAUCUACGUAGGAAAACCUUUCUCCGAUAAUUAGAACUCUACGUUAGAUAAGAUGUCUUAGUAUGAACCCUUAAUCGUCUAAAUGGAUAUCCUACAUUCGGACAUCCGACAUCUACCUAGAAAUUCUUCUUCAACUCUGGACUACCAAGACAUCUAUUCAUAUUCCGAUCUGAUCACCGAGUUCCAAAACGUGUCUUCGGUCCACAUCUAAUAAAACUACACAUACGUGGACAACGAUCUUAAUGGAGAUAGUCCUAUAACAACCGGAAUCGAAGACAGGUGUCAAACUAACACGUAGUCUACCUACAAUUCUGUCGAAAAGACUUACCACUAAAUCUACUCCUCUAGAUAUACUUCGUUGGACUUCCUAAACAUCAAAGACCUGUAUUUUUAUUUCACACGUUUAACUGCUCUAGAAAUAUACCUGAAUUUGUUCGAGGAUUCGUCACCGUGAACUUUAAACUAAGAAAUCAACAUAGUUUACCUAAAGUACAUUUGUACAGACUACUUACACAUAUAAGUUUCCUUAUACUACAUGUCUAACACUAGGACACAAAUAUACAACUACUAUAAAACUAAAAACCAUGGUUAUAUUUACACUAUGUACUACACUUCUUUAAUGACUUACUCUUAAAACUAUACUUUCUAGAACCCGUUCGUCUACAUUAAGAGUUAUACUUCUAGUAAUCUCUUAGUUUUCUUUAACAAUACUCGGUUAGUGUGAUAUCACUUGUCAAUAACUUCUUCAAACCUAUAAAACUACAAUUUGGACAUCACUGUGGAAUACUAAGAUCACAUGUAGAAUUCUUCUUAUCUCCACUAGGUUAACCAGUCUUAUCUAUACGUGUCUAAUAUCCUAGAAACCCUAUAGAUCAUCUGAUAUGAUCUGGACUAUACCGAAUACGACAUUUGUCUAACUCUUCUAUAUGGGUAUUAGGCUUAUCUCUAGUAACCUUAUGAAAUCUUUCUCAAAACUCCAUAGAUUUCCCUUGAUAUAGAAUACCUAAUGUAAUGUCACUGAAAGGACGUCAUGAUCUUCCUAUAUCACUACGUUUAACCUAAUCACUAUGUCGACUACAUUUCAGAUGAUGACCUAAAUAAAAAGAGGAUCCUCCUCGUCGACAAAGAACCUUCAGUUGGUUUGUUAGAAACUAACGAUCUUCAUGAUACCUUAGACUUGAAUAUCGUAAUCUAUGGUGACAUUUUCUCCGAUUCACCUAUUCUCUUAAAGAAAUACUAAACGGUGACUACCUCGCUGGAAAUCGUGAUCACACAUAAGUAACACUAACAUCUAGACGUUAACUAUUUACACGGGUUCUCUUACACCUCUGAUUCUACUUAUCUAAAUACUUUCACUCUGUAUUCAAGUAAGCUGUCUUAUACUUCCUCUUACAUUAACGAAACCUUAAACACUCUAGACGUUUCUUAGACCGACUAGUCGAGUGGUUCCCUAACAGAUCCUGACACUAGGAUCUUAGCAGCUCCCCCUACCCCGACUCGGGUGUUACUUUCAAUGGCCGCUGCCGUUGGGUUGGACAACGUCCAAGUUACCCAUCUUUGUUCAGCUUGUCCAUCGACACUCCUCGUGACAAAAACAUAGGAGUAGGGAUACCGCUGUCACGAGUAAAGACGUUCACCUAUCCUUCCCGAAAUCGGGACUUACCAAGGCUCUGGGUACUCCGUCCCACACUGGAAUGUCUGUGGGAAGACUCCUGGAUGAUACACACACCUCAACACUCCGGCGUUGAUACCCUUCUCCCGCCAAGGGAUUUUGUGUGUACUUUGCUAUGAUCGCGUACCGGCAUUAUCGCGAGUGGGCGAAUCUUGGAUGUAUCGACAUGGUACACACGCCAAACACCUUUAGGCUAAGUGGCCGGAACCAAGUUCCGCUUCAGGUGGUAACACAGGAGCCUACAUGUAUCUGUUCGUGAUUCACUUCCAAGUUUGGGCUUUCCAUGGAAGCGGCUUAUGCACCAUAUUCUCUAGGUCGUAGGAAAACUCAAUAAAAAAAAAAAACUUAAAGUCAAAAGUAAAAACUUCAAAAUUUAGUACACCCCCUUACAAUCAUAAAACUAAAUUUUGUUCACUAAAUUUUGAAGAAAUAUACGAGUAUACAAAAUUUUGAAGUUAAACCGGAAACCUGAAACACCCGUCGGGUGACAGUUACCCGGAACGGACCCUCGGGUUCGAAACCAGAGAAAAGUACACCACAAAUCAGGGUGUAACCUUUCUCUGGGAGUGAACGAGACCAAAUAUAAGAUGAAAUAAGAGUAACAAUAAUGAACCCUUCACUACUCUCACCUCGAGAGCAGAUUUAUGUGCGUGCGCGCGUGCCGUGCUCGUGCUCGGCCCGGCCCGCCGCCGCGCGCACUUGGGCCAAGUAAAAUAAAAACAAUGUGAAAAGAAUAAAAUAAAAACCGGAAUGGACCUAAUCCAGGUCUAAACCAGGUCAGCUUUCCAGCGUGGAGCCCUGAGUUGGUCGGGGUUGCCAGAUGGAGCCCUUCCACCAGAAGGGCAACCUUGGGAAGAAAACGAGAGGAUAAAUGAUCCCACUCACCGACCCAAUCCUGUUAUCACUGUAUGUCUUUGGGAUCGGACUCGAAGAGGGGAAAAGAGAGAAGAAGUGACAAAACGACCUAGAGACUUUUCGACACUGCCAAGCAAGAACGCGGUGGGACUUCGGCACGGCUGCCCCACCUGCUUCCAGCAACAUAGCGAUCCUCACUAACGGCCGCGGAGCAUGCACCUCCCCGUUAGAACGAAGAUCCUGUCACGUUAGCGUGCGGAGCUGAGUGUCCGAGGUAGAUUAGGAAAUAAGAGAUAUCAAAAAUAAAUAAAGCAAGAAUUAGUUGCAAAGAUUUUUGUCACUUAUUCAACAAAAGUUUGUUUUAACAAAUAUGUUUAUAAACUGAUUUCUAAAGUUUUCUCUUGAUUAAAAAGGUUGUGGUGGAUGGUGGUAGUAGAGUUGGAGUGUAGAGAGGUAGGUUCCCGAUGUUUGUGUGUUCAUAGUGAACCCAUUAUGAAAAUGUUCAUAAGAUCGAGAUGAGAGAGAGAGAGAGAUAUAUAUAUAUAUAUAUAUAUAUAUAUAUAUAUAUAUAUANUUUUUCAUCCGAAGGCUAAAAACUUAUGAGUACAAGGAACUCUAUACUCAUAAGAUUAUAGCAGCCCCAGCCUAUAUAUAUAUAUAUAUAUAUAUAUAUAUAUAUAUAUAUAUAUAUCGAGAGAGAGAGAGAGAGAGUGUGUGUGUGUGUCUAGAGCUACUAUACUAUCGAAAGCAUAGAGGAUUUGGUGCUUCCGACUUUUUGGCCCUUAGAUCAACCCCUUUGAUCAUUUGUAACUUUUGGAUUAAUACUAUUACCCUAUGGGGACCACUCAACCCUAAGGGUACCACUCAACCCUAGGGGGACUGCAAUCAGCCGAACCGUACAAUUCUUAAUCCAAGGGUCAAAAAGUCGGAAGUAUCAAAUUCUCUAUGCUCCCGAUAGCAUAGUAGCUCUACACACACACACACACACGUAUAUAUAUAUUAUGCAUAUUAUAGAUUAUAGAUUCUAUGUACAUUCGAAAAUGGGUAUAAAUCUUACACUUUUUAUUUUAGCGUUAAUAAAAAUUUAAAUAAUUUUUAGUAAAAAUUAAAAAAGUAGAUGUGAUAAAUAAAAAAUUAAUAGCCUUUGGACAGAGUGGGUAUAAGAUGUACACUUUACUCUCGGGUGUAUCAUAGCAUUGCUCCUUACUUUAAGAAAAACUUGUAUAUAUACCCCUAACCUUUAGCUCUUUUUCGAACAUAUGCAUAAAUUUUUAAUUUUGAUAAUUUGACUCUCUAACUUCGUCAACUAGUUUAACAGGUUCUCUGUUCAAUUGAAAUUGUCAGUAACGCAUCUAUUUUAAUUAUAUGUCUUGCAUAUAAUCUCUAACUAUUUUUUUUAAAAAAAAUUUAACUUUUUAUUCUAACAUAUAAAAAAGCCAAUAAAAGUUAACGGAGGUUCAUCUUAUGUCUCAAUGCUCAUACUUAAUUAAAAAAAAAUUUUUGAAAAAAAAGACUUUAAUAUCUUAUAAAAUUAUGCAAACAAUUUGCCACAUAAUGACUAUAUUAUCAGUAACAUCAAUGGAAGAGAUGGGUUUAUUGACUUACAUAUUAGGGCUAAUUGCAUGCAACUCCCAAUAAACACAGCGAAUUAUAAAUAUAUUCCUACAAUUUAUUAUGUUAUUCCUGCAAAAGUCCUAAUAUUUUUAAAUAUACCCCUGCCAUUAGGAUCCGUUAGAUAAAUUUAGCUAACCAUAAGUAAAAUACUUAAUCCGGUUAGUCGAUGAGGUAAAUAGAUAUUUUCACCCCUCUUAUAAUCCUAUUAACUAACUACCUGAUGGGCCUCUAACCCUAGUUGAAGUAGGACCAAACCAGCGUCAAAGCAAUCCUGCGAGGAGGCCUCAUGUAAACUUUUCACUUUCUUCUGAUGAUUAAUCUAUAGUUCAAUAUAUUCUGUGAGGGAAUGAGAACUUUUUUUUUCUCUUCUUUUUCCUCUUCCUCUCACUCCCUCAUGCUAGUUUCGAAUCCAUAAUUACUAGGGUUUCUCCAUCCCCAUUCAUCAACGAGGGGUAGAAGAAUAAGGUGAGUAUGCUACUGUCACGCCCGGGUACCAGCGGAAGCAUAUCCGGCACGUGCACAGACCCGCCAUACACCUGCAGUAUAUAAGGCGUCUACAAGCAACACAAGUCGAUAGGAAGUAAAACAAAGAAAGUCCUAUCCUGAUAUCAGAGCAAAGUACAAGUCAAAAUACUAUCAACAAAAGGGCAAGAGUGUACAAUCCAAAAGCUCAACCAAAAGAUGAGUAUCACAACUAAAACAUCAGAUCCAAACAGGAGAUAUACAAAAAUAGGUACAAUGGUAGCCUUUCUAUACAAAAGGACAUCACCCUCGGCCGUAGCCCGAGUAACAAGGUGAUCGACUAGCAUGCUCCUAGUAGUCCCUAGCUAGGCGCGACUCCCUUGCCACGAUCCCUAGCCUCUCCUGUAACAGGCUCUGUAAAAACAACCACCAAAAGGGCGUGAGAACUAUUAACAAUAGUUCCCAGUGGGUAAGCCGCCAGCCUCGGCGAAUUACACCACUAGGCUCAUGAUGUACUAAAUGGAAAUAAAAGCAGUAAUUUGCAUGAUAUAUUUUCAAUGCUAACAAUUAAUGAACAUGUAAGCAACAUGUAAUCAUAGUCUCAACAGUAAUGAAUCUACUGAUUAAUAGAAGGAUAGCAACUACUAUAAGCAUGAACAUAGCGUAAAUGUGUAAGUAACUACUGUACACUGUAACUGGUAAUCAUUCAUUACUGUCCAAUUUCCUUUAGCACUUUUCAUCCAUUCACAGGGAUCUACUCAAGGUAGUCCAGCUUGCGCCGCGCCUAAUGGCCCCGUGGUAGUAUACACUCCCCACGGCAAUCCACUUCGGCACCCAAUCCCGCACGGGCGAGCAACUGUCGCGUAGGCCAACUCCGGAGUGCCGGCUUGUAGGGAGCUACCCUCACAAGCGUGUGCGAAUGAGCACGAUGGCAAGCAAGCAAAGUCCACUAUCCACAUGUCUCAAUUUUUAUAUUUUCACAUGCAAAGUUCAGAACCCUCGAUCCUCUGAUCGGAAUGUCAAUACACAAAUAGUAACAAAAGCUAGUAUCCACUAGAUUGUAAACAUAUAAGGGUAAAGCUAAAUCACAUAGCAUUAUAAUCUUUCCACUAGUAUAGCACUAUCAACAUAGUCAUGAGCAUGUCAUAGUUCUCUAUAUUAGAGUCAAGAGAAUGUCAUUGUUCUUUACUUUAAAGUGCAUCCUACACUUGUUCAUAAGCCAUUCAACUAUAUUGAAUAUGAAUAGAAAUACUUUCAUGUAUAUAUGUUCUCUAUAUCAUAGAAACAUAAUAAACUGAUCUCCCGAUUGUUCUACUGAACUAAACAAGAAUACUUAAAGCAUGAGUACUUUUAUGCAUGAACGCUCAUUUCACAUAUGAUAAACGUCAUGAUGACGAAUUCCGAGCCCUUUAGCAAUCACAUAGGCAUAUAAUUAAACCGCGUCUAUAAUACAUAUAGAACAUAGGGGAGCUUCACUUGCUCUGGUUAGGUCAAACCCACCUAGUUCAAGGCUCCAAACAGUCCAAAGGAGUCCCAAGGAUCAGCUCCACAAGGCUCCAAUCCUGCUGAACACAAGCAUCAACACCGCGUCAAAAUGACGACCGAAACGUCCGAUUUCGGCCUAAUUUGCACUUAGUACAAAGUAACCCCUUAAAUCCCUAUUUGGGCUCUUGUAAUACCUCAAGUGUAACCUCCAAGAGUCCUCACAAGUCAGUCGAAGACGAUCCAAGGCUCGAUCGCGAUCUUGCUGCGAACAAUACCGAAACGGCGUCGCAAUGCUCGUAUAUAAGCUUCUAUGGUUCAAUUCUUGCGAAAUUGAAUUUCUAAUGGAAAUUCCUGCUUACCCUUGGUUAGAGCAGCUUCCAAACCAGCUUCCAAGAGUGCAAGUUCAGCUCAAAAAGGCACAAAGACCUGCUGCGAAGAGAUCAUACAAAACAACGUCAAUUACGCGAUUAAACCGCGUAUAGUUCCGAAUUAGCUUCAUAAAUGGCUAAUUAUGCCAAUUAAGCUUCCAAGUAGCUUAUCCCAGAUCUAAGAGGGUUAAUUCUCAGCUAAAUAACUCAUAUAUACAUGCUGAAAUCUCAGUUUAAAACAGUUGGAAGCAAAAUCCUGAAAUCGAUACUCAAAUCGACGAAUAGAGCGCCGAUAACGGAAAAAAAUCAAGUCGUAUACCUUCUCAAGCUGGCAACCAGCUCCUUACUGGUCCAGGGCUGCAAAAAUCCCUUCAAAACGCUCUCUUGCACGUGCACAAAGGUGCUGCGACGCUCGCAACCAGCGAAGAACGCGCGCGGCGACGAAAACGAGCGAAAUCGGCGAAUUCGAUGUAGAGAGAGAAAAACCCUAGAGAGAGAGAGAGAGAGAGAUGGUAGAACACUCCUCUGCACUCCAGCAACAUCCACAGAGCUCCUGGGGUCGAGCUGGGUCCAUAAGAUAGGGAUCAAGAUGUGAAAAGACCAAAAUAGCCUUGCUGCCACGAAUUGCCACUGUGUACCGGUACACCAUUGCGGCUGUACCGGUACAGCAAGCAGAAAAGGCUGAUUUUCGCCAGUUCAAUGCACUUUCCCACUUCUCGCAUUCCAAACAUUCUCUAACUUAUCCGAACACUUGUUCUACCCUUUUAGAACAUGUAGGAGUGAUCCACACACCAUUCCACAUACUCGAACUCCGCAAUUUGCAAAAGUUCAGUGUAUUACAGCUACAUACUAUAAAUCCAAAACUUGUUUAAUCUAAUUGUAAUUUAGGUUAUUUUGUUGUAACGUAAGUUAAUUUUGGAAUAUCUUGAUGUAUUUUAUGUUACUUUUAGAACAACUUUGGUCUCAUGACGUAGUAAUUUAGCAUAUUUUUGAGAAAUGUGUAAUAUUUUUUAUAAAUCAUCCAAGCUGGCAAAGUAUAACAAUUUCAUUGUCAUCUUUACAAAAAGUAUACAAGGACUAGUCAUUAUUAUUUAUCUUUUUUGUUACUAUAAUGGCAAUUUGAUAAUAUGGAUGAAGAUAGUAUUUUUCAAGUGAAGUUCAAUUAUGUUGGGUAUAUUAAAACAGUGAAAACUGCUUGUGGACUCAGAUAUUGUGAUGGCAAGAAGAAUACAUUGAUGAUAGAUCAUGAUAAUUACAAUCUCAUCGAAUUUUGUCGAGAUCUACGAUCACUGUGGGAUUGGAGUGUUCCAGAUAACAUCAAGAUAUGGUAUGUAGCAAGAAAUGUUAACCAAAUAGGUUCGUUCAAAUAUUCACUAAGCAGCAAUUCAUGGCUAUAUUUUUCAUAUAAAAUGAUAUAAAGAAGUGAAAAUAUUUAUAACCAUUUAGUCGCAAGGCAUUCCGUUAAACUAUAUUCGUGGAGAAACUAGUUCCUAAUGUGCAAGACACCAACACUCAAGUGCGCACAAGAGAGCAAUGUUGGUAUGAAUGAUGAUAACAAUGUGGGUGUUGUUAGUGAAGGUGGUCAAGUUGCUGAAGAAGCAGAUAGUGAAGUUGUACGUUGGUGAAGUUCGUGAAGAAGUAACAGCUGAAGAAGCAUUUGGUGAAUCAUAUGCAGUGUUAACUGAAGAUAGCUUUUGUUCUCUUAAAACUGAAGAAUACAUAUCAUAUAUAUUGAAGUAUUUUCAUGUGAUAAGAAUAACCCUAUUAUGGAUAUAGGAGCAAAAUAUCCCACUAUAGCUUCAUUUAGGGAUGUGCUGACUUAUUUUGCCGUAUUAAAUGAGUUUGAGUAUAAGCUACAAAAAAGUGAUCUUUUGAGGGUAACUACAAGAUGCUCAAAAUCUUAAUUGCAAUUGGCAAAUCCAUGCAUCUUAACUUCCUUUAGUUUUUCAAGUAGUACCAACAUUAUUCUAUUUUUUUAACGUACUUUUAGUAUCAUUCAUCUAUAAAUAAUAAUUAAUGACAUGUCUAACUAACAUUUUUAUAUUAUAGGUAAAAACUUUACAAGGAAAGCACACAUGCACAUCUAUCAAUCUGUAUCGGAACAAAGUAGCAACACAAGCUUGGGUAUGAAUAAGGUUAUUGAGUGGCUAUGGUUGAAAAGAGAUUUGUCUAUAAGCGAAUUGCGUAAAAGACUACAAUAAAAAUAUCAUGUGGACUUGGCCUACUGCAAGGUCUUUAGGGGGAAAAGAAAUGGCAAUAUCUAAAAUCCAUGUGAAGUUGAAGCUGUUGUAUUAAAGAAUUUUUUUAUUUUAAAGAAGAAAUUAUUAGAAGAAAUCCUGAUAGCCACAUGGAGGUAAAGCUACAAGUUAUUAAUGGAGACAUCAUUUUCAACAAAUUUUUUCUUGCAUUUGGUAGUUGCAUACAAAGAUUCCUCACUUGGAUGUAGACCUUAUAUUGUAUUAAAUGGAUGUCAUCUCAAAGAAAAGAAUAGAGGAGUGCAUAUAUCGGCUACAAGUAUUGACGAAAAUAAAUUAAUUUUUUCAGUAUCUUUUGGUAUUGUGGAGUCGAAGAACUCCAACAGUUGGGAAUGGUUUCUUCAUGGGUUGAAGACUGCUAUAGGAGAACCCGAAGGCCUAGUGUUCUCCUCGAAGAGACAUAAAGAUUUGGAUGAGGCCGUUCAAGGAGUGUAUCCAAGAAUUGAACAUACAGAAUGCAUGCGUCAUUUGUAUAGCAACUUCUUGGAGAUUGCUAAUAGAGACAAUUUGUGGGCUACAGCAAGAGCAUGUACACCUACUGUUUAUGAAGCUAGCAUUGCUAAGGUGUAUGAAGCAAACCCAAUGGCUAUUGCAUAUAUGCGAGAGAACCAUGGCUAUUUGCAGAGUUGAAGUAAAUUCGGGACAAUUGCUAAGCGUGAUUACUUAACUAAUUAUAUUUCUGAAUUAUUCAAUGCAUGGAUUUCUAAUGGUAGGCAUAGACUAUUGAUUGACAUACUUGACACUAUCCAACAAAAAUUAAUGGUCAAGAUGGAGAAGAGAAAAAAUAGACCAAGAAAGUGGGAUCAACAGUAAUCAAAUAUGUAAACAAGAUCAGCAAGGUAAUUUAUUUACAUUACACUGAUUUUUUCCUUUAAUUUUAAGCAAUCUUGGCUAUGCUAUCUUCAUGUUCGAUAUGUUAGAUAUGUUAGAUAAUUUAGUUUACCUAAGUAAUUUAGUUACAUCUUUUCAUAUUCUAAUUAAUUUUCACAUUAGAUAAGCUAUGUUGUUUAAUCUUCACAAUUUUUAGGGUUUUGGUCAAGAUGAGGCGUUAUGGAGUGAUAAGUUUUCAGCAAAAUUAGUUGGACCUCAUUCAAGAUUCGAGGUUAUACUGCAUAACACGCAGUAUAGCUACAGAAUAUGGCAAGUAAAAGGUGUGCCAUGUAUUCAUGCAAUGGCAGUAGUAGGUGACUUAAGAUAUGAAAAGUGAAAAAAAAUAUGUGCACCCAUAUUUUACGGAGGCCAAAUAUAAGGAGGCCUACGCUGCAUCUAUUGCACCAUUGCCUGCGAUGAGUGAGUAAAGAUUGACAUCAGUCAUCGUGUAUUACCUCGUAUUUUAAAUAGGCCAGCUGGAAGGCCUCAAUAAACAAAUUAGAAUAUUAGAUGAGAUGUUAAUCAAGAAGAGGUAUUGAUGCAAAAGAUGCAAGCAAUAAGGCCACCGUGCAUAAACAUGCAAGAACCCUUUCAAUGCGAAUCUGCACCCUAAAGUACCAUCUCAAGUAGGGAAUUAGCACCCUGAAGGACCAUCUCCAGUAGGGAAUGCGCACCCUAUAGCACCAUCUAAAGCAAGGAAUCCGCACUUCGAAGCACCAUCUCAAGCAAGUACUAGUAGUGGCACAAGUACUAUGUUGACUAACAAAGUUCACUUUUAAUUUAUUUUCUUUGCUAUAUUACUAACUACUAAAAAAGCUACAGGUGUAGAGGAAGGAAGCUAGCAUCAAGAUCAAGAUGGAUAACAGGUGAAGCGACAAUCUCACGGUCCUAACAAAGAAGUGCCAUAAGUGAAAUUAAUGCAAUGGGUUGUCUAGAAAAUCAAGAUUUAAUUUAGUGAAACAAUUGAUGUAGUGAAAGAAUUAGUUUUUUUUAUUUUUGGUUGGUUUGAAUAGAUAUACUUUGUUACAGUGAGUACUUGAAAUGGAUGUAACUUUUCAUAAACUAUCUGUUUUUUGGAUAUUUUGAAAAAUGUGGGUAAUUUGGUGGGUAAUUAGAAUAAGAUUCCUGGAACAACUUGGUUAUGCUUGUAUGCAAUAUUUUGGUUUGAAUAGAUAUGAAACUUGAUACAAUAGUUCUGAAAACUUCAAUUCGAAAUAGUUGUUUUGGUUUGAAUAGAUAUGAAACUUGAUACAAUAGUUCUGAAAACUUCAAUUCGAAAUAGUUGUUUUGGUUUGAAUAGAUAUGAAACUUGAUGCAAUGGCAUUGUCUUUGUAUUGAACUACCAGUUGUUUCCACACUUGUAAUGGAUGUAAUUUGGUUUUACUUGCAUGGUCCAUUGUGGUUUUAAUAGAAGUGUAAGUUAUGAAUAAUAUUAUGUUUGUAUGGAACUACUAGCUUUUUGGAUACUUUGAAUGGAUGUAAUGUAAGGACUAAGAUUUUGGCAAUGUAGCUAAACUCUCUGUUGAUGAUUUUUUUGUGUGUAUUUUAAUUACAAAAGCACUCAUUAAGUUUCGAGAAAAAAACGAGUUAGAAUGGAGAUCUUACGUGAUCUUUACUUUUCACUUAAAGUGAAUAGUAACCCGAAUUUCCGAAAAAGCCAAUGAAUAGAGUUGGCUUCAGGCACGCACCGGACUCCGUUCAUAGUGAUCCAAUAGCUCGUUUUCAACGGUUCGUCUACCCCGGAUCCAAAGGCACUGACGGAUGUUGGGUUUGACACAUGGAUUUCAAGAAAAUCUGGAUAUACAUAUACUCUAUGUAUUUGUGCGUGGUUUUGCCUAUUGGAGAGAGGAUGGAUUUCUUCGCGAAUCAGUGACCAAACCAAGCAAAACAAAAUAGUAGGUUUGAUGUCUUUAUCGUGCUGAUCGAACUAGUGCGAUCUAUUCGCAAACUUGACGGACGGAUCUUCUGAUAUUGCACGUUGAUCGAGGAGUGGUCUUAAAUGGCAAAACGGUAAUUUUGCGAAAAGCUCUACAUUUUAUGUACCAUUUUGCGUGAAAUCGAAUGUGGGGGUGUAUUCGCAUGUUUACUCGUGUUGUGAGGGAGUCGGUUCUAAAUAUCAGAGUUUGGUGGACUUAAACGCAAUUUACACUUUAUGUAUAUAUAGCUACCUAGGGUUUGCAUGGUGCAAACCCUAAUCCUUGACUAGCUCAGCUGAUCCCAGCCGCCCCUCCUCCCUCACCUCGUGUGCCGCGCGCCUCCCUACCGUCGCCAACCGAUCUUCGAUCGGCCAGCACACCCUCAACUACUUUUCUCCCUCUCCAUCUCCUUUUUUUCCACCAUCUUCUCUACCCAACCUUAAACUUGAGCUCAUGGAGAUCAAACCCUUCUCCUUCGGCCACCUCCACGCUCCCUCGACCUCUGGUGGUCGGCAGCUAUCGAGCCCGACCAUCCUCAUCCGUCGGCGCCACCAUUUUUGCCAUGGAUGCCACAUCGGGCUAGUCCUGGCUGAGGUAGCCCCAGCCCCCUUCCUUUGCGCUGCCGACACCUGAGGCCGCCCCUACCGCCUCCCCCGGAGCCCUGGCAACCGUCCUCGCCGGCCGCAGCCACCCCGUGCGCCGCCUUGCCAAUGCUGCCAACCUAUGGCCAGCCGAGGCUGGUGUGGCCGAGCUCUGCAGCACCGUGCCCUCAGCUGCCGACCACCGUCCCCAUCCCUUCCCCUCGGUCCCAGAGGAAGCCUCACCCUUUCCCUGGCCGGUUCGACCGUCGCCGUGGCCGGAGAAGCUCGCCGAGCUCGAGCUCGACCUGUGCAGGCUCGGUUUGCUCCGCCGCCACCGUCGCGAGCCCUGGCCUCCCCACGUUGGCCGCACCCAUCGGCCGCCGGCGUGUCAACCGUAGAGCCACCGCCAGCCAUGCCCUAGCUCCCACUGCUCCGGUAAGCUUGUCAGGGUCUUUUGGUUGCUGUUUUGGGUUUGUUCUUAUUUUUUCGAUGAUCCGAGGUUGUCCCGAUGCCUCCGAAGAUGAGCACAGUGAUCAAUGGUCAGUGCUGAUUACGAUGCUCACCUCGCUUUGGAUCAACGGACUCCGAAUCAGCCUGUUCGGCGCGAUUUACCCCGAGUGCGCGCAGUUUGCAAAAUUUUCGAGUCGCUCCUGUGCCUCCCACAGUGAGUCGUUGUGCUCCGGAUCAUGAGCACGGCCUCCAGCACGUCGAGACCUAUCAGUACGUGUCUCGGUGGACCUAGGAAGUCGUCGGUUUGCGGUAACAAGCCACAAAACCCUAAACCCUAAACCCUAAGCCUCCGUUUGGUUCGGGGUUAAGGAAAAAGUAGCUAUUCCAGGGAUAAAGUUAAGUUCAGGGUUAAAGUGGGGUUAAAGUUUUUUUGUGUUUCGUUGGGGGUUGGAGUUAGUCUAGAAUAAUGAAAAAUAGUGUUUGGUUGGGUAGGUGGGAUAAGAAGAUAAUGAUUGAUAAAGAAGGAUAAUGAUUGGUUGGAGUAGGUGUGAUAAGAAAGAUAGUGGGUUAUUAUGAAUAGAAAAUAGUGUUUGGUUGGAGUUUGGUGGGGUUAGGUGGGGUUAGCUAACCCGGGAUAAUUUAUUUGAGGUGGGGUUAGGUGGGGUUAGCUAACUCCACCUAUUUUUUGGGGUGUUUGGGGAUAAAAUGGGGGUUAAGGGGUUAUUCCACCCCUUAACUCCCAACCAAACAAGGGCUAAAGCACCUACUAACUCUUCGACUUUCAUCUCAUCUAGAUGCUUAACGGUUUCAAUCGUGGCAACGUUUGUCCUAAAGCGCUCCGGAAGAGUUCGAAGAAGUUUUUUAACAAUUUUCGACUCCGGGAUCUUCUCUCCUAAGUUAGCACAUGUAUUAAUAAUAUCUUGAAGUCUAGUAUAAUAAUCAGUAAAAGAUUCAUGCUCUUCCAUUUGAAUUGAAUCAAAUUGACUUGUCAACAUCUAAAGCUUUUGAACUUUUACUAAACUUGUACCUUUAUGUGUAACUUGAAGAAUAUCCCAAAUCUUCUUGGCGGUUUCACACGUCGAGACACGAGUAAAUUCAGUUUACGAUAAAAGCAUUAAACAAAGCAUUUAUUCCUUUACCAAUGAAUGAAAAUAAUUCGUUUUCGUCUAUUUAUUUCUAGGUUUGGGGACAGUAGCAUUAUCGACGACUUCGGUGGGAUACUUUCAUCCGAAUUCGAUUGAUUGCCACACCCGCUCGUCGAUUGCAAUUAGAAAAGCUCUCAUGCGAACUUUCCAAUAGUUAUAAUUUGUGCCAUCGAAGAGUGAUGGUCGAUUAAUAUUACUUCCCUCGACUAUAAUGAUAGAUGAAGAUCUAGAUCCCGCUCUGAUACCAAUUGUAAGUUGCGAAGAGCCCUAGGAUCUUUUAUCUAGAUACUAUCAAACACCUGGGGGGUGAAUAGGUGUAACGACCAAAAACCACAAAUCUCAAUGCGAUGGAAAUUAAAUAUAAAAAAUAAAAAUCAUACCGAGAUUUAUGUGGGAAAACUCCAACUUGGAAUAAAAAACCUACGGGACCAACACGCGAAAAAAUAAUUCACUAAGAGAAAAUAUUACAAGGUGAUUACCGACUCCAUAGACUCUACCUCUCUUAACCUCCUAUAAAUCUCGCGCAAUCCUUCGGUUGUCUACGCCCUCACAUUCGAAUCCACGAACGCCUCGCACACGUCCGAAUCUACGAACACCACUUGAAUCCACGAGCACACGAUCCGAAUCCUCGAACCACCUUUAAUCAUCCCGAAUCCACGACGCCAUUCAUGAAGAACAUCAUGAUUAUGGUGAUCUUUUGCUUAGAGUAUCGAUGAAAACCAGAGAAGAAUCUCUAAGCGAAGCGUAGAUCAAUUCGACAUAUAGAUGUCAAUUUUCAAUACCUCGAAUUAACUUAAAAGAGGCUAAAUUGUAGAAAAUAGAUUUAGAACGAAAACCUAGCCUUUAGGGUUUCUCAAACAUAUAUUCUCGUGAUGUUCAAUGAAUUAGAGAACCCCAAUAGCUUAUUUAUAGACCAUAAAAUCAAUUAAAGUCGGAUUAGAAAGAUUUCGAAAUUUUACACUAUGUACCGGUACUGCAUCAUGUUGGUACCGGUACCAAAUGACGGAAUAAAAAUUCCUUAGGCUGCGGACUGCGGUAUAGGUACCAGGCCGAUGCUGUAUCGGAACCAGCUGCAGUACCGGUACCCUGCCAAUGCAGUAUCGGUACUCUGCAAUUUCGAGAAUUGCACCACCUGACUACUUCUAAUCCUUUAAAUUAUUUAAUUACUUGAUUCUAAUGUCAUAAAAAAGUUUAAAUUAUCAACAUGAAUUAAAACCUUACCUGAGCAUCGUGAUUCACGUCGUGAGAUGUUUCUGAGUUCUCGAAGUCUUAGUUUCUUCAAUGUUCUUCAAUCAUGCACCGAACCUUUCAAGAUGUAAAAUACCGAGAAUUCGGAAAUUAAAUAUCAAACUUUAGUCAAAUUGACGAAAGUGCGAGGAUGAUACCCUUCGGAAAGUCCGAAGGUGUCAAAAGGAUCAAAAGUGCAUUGUGGGAGGUUUUCGAGAGCUAAAGAAUAAAAAAUCUGCAUUUUGCAGGUUUUGUGCUCUCGGGAACCGGUCCCUGAAGGAGAGACCGGUCCCUGUACGCGUGGAAGAUGAGAAAAGGGAAAAAUCGGCUAAGUCCCCGAGAUCAGGCUCUCGGGAACCGGUCCCUGCUGGAGAGACCGGUCCCCGAGAGACCGGUCCCCCAAGGAGAGACCGGUCGCAUUACGCGGGAGCCCUGGCUGCCCGCAGGGAGGAGCUAUGGGAACCGGUCCCUGGUCAGGGAGACCGGUCCCCGCACACGAAAUCUGCCCAGUUUGGGCAGUUUAAUAAAAUGAAAGUUGAGGGGCUUAUUUGCAAUUAUGCAUUAUAUGGGUUAUGUAGAGGGCUAUGGGGGCUUUGUUCCUCUCAUUCUCUCCCUCUUAUACUCUCUCUCCUCUCUUUCUCUCUCUAGAAGACAAGAAUGAGAAAAAGAAUGAAAAGAGAAAGGAAAGGAAAGAAAGGGAAAAGAAGAAGGAGGAGAAGGAGUAGAAGGUGAAGAAGAAGCCAAGGAGUGAAGCUACCUCCUCUUCUUCCUCUUUGGAGCAACAUAGAAGCAAGCUUAGAGGUAAGCUUGAACCCUAUUCAUGGUAGAACCCAAAUUAGGGAUUUGAUUAACCUAGGAAUGGUUUUAAUGGAGUCUCUAGAGUGUUUGAAGCUAUCUUUGCCUUCCUUAAGAGAUCAAAACUAUGGAUGGGUAAAUGCGGUGAAGCUUAGAGGAGAGCUUCAACCUCUCUCAUGGUAAAAUCCAAACUAGGGUUUGGAUUGAGCUAAGAAUGAUUUUUAUGGAACCUUUAGAUGAUUUGAAGCUUGCUUUUGCUUCUCUAAGAGAUCAAAACCCUAGUUUUGAUAUGCUAUGAGCUAGGGCACCCAAAUUUGGGGCUUUUGCUCGGGAGGAUUUCAAAGUGAAAUUGACCCUCUAAAAACCUAAUUGGGGGUAUUUCCGACGCGUUGGUGCGCUCGGAUUGACGUUACGAAAAGCCAAUGUAAAGAUAUGAGCAAAAUGGCCUAAUAGGGCUUCGUUUUGCCGCAGGUGACGAACUAGGAGUCUAAAAAUCCCAAGAAAAUCAUUUUAGCAUCCUAGUACGUCUACGAGGUGGGUGGUGCUAUCCAAACUUAUUGAAAUUCCUUCUAUGCCUAAUGUGUCAUUUAAUUGAGCAUACGUUUAUAUUGUUGCAUGCAUUAUAGGGUAGAUGUGAUAUUAUAUAUGUGAAUGUUGCAUGAUGUGAGUACAUGUGCUAUUUGAAAUGUUUGAGAACCUAUUUAACCCUAUAUAUAUGCAUGAGAUAUAAUGUGAGCACCCAAUGAGAUGAAAGAACAAAGUGACCCAAUUAAACAUAGAUCGAGUGGCAUUCGAUAAUGUAAAGUAAAGUGAUACUAGAGUUAGUGUGUGUGGCAUCAAAGAGAAAUGAGAUGCAAAGAACAAUGAUAAUGAUUAGAGACAAGGAAAGAAAAUGAAAGUGGCAUAAAGAACGAGUAAAGUUAAAGAACAAUGAUUGCCAGAGUUAGCAAAAUAAAGUGAUGUAAAGAACACUAGAGUUAGUGUAAAGACAAUGAUUGAACUAUAUAUCCUUUUAGAGUUAAGGAUCGAUUAUACUUGCUAUGAGUUCCGUGCUCGAGGGCUGUCGCUCCCCCUCGAGCGAUGUGCUUCGGAGUUUUGCAUCACGGGUUGUAGUAAACCCGAGGACGGUCUUAGCGGGAGGUAGCUGAGGGCCCGCGAUGAUAGACUUAAUGUGGGCAAGUUAAUGUGGCGAAACCCCCGGGAUAGCCGUAAGAUUAAAGAACAAGAACAAAGAUUAAAGAAUAAAGAGUAAAGAACAAAGAACUUGCAUACUUGCAUGAUUUACGUUGAGCAUAUUUCUUGCUUUAUUAUUCAGGCAUAUUAGCAUCAUGAUUAUAGUUUGGUUACUAUUCUGCUUAUCUUUUCUAUUAUGCCUGAGUUAGUCCUAGUGGGAAAGUCGAUGAGGUUGGGGCCGAACCCACUGGGAACUUUGUUGUAGUUCUCACCCCACUAUUCCACAGAGCUGGGACCGAGCGAGCCGGUGAGCGACCGCGGUAAAGGUAUCGCGCCAUAGACAGUGAUUACCAAGUCGAGUUUACAUUUUGUAGUAGCAUUCCCUUACUUCAUCUUUUGUAUUUGAUGAAUUGAGAUGUAAAAGAAAAGAAUGUAAUAUUUAUCUCGAGGAGAAUGUGAUGUAAAAAGAAUGAUGAAAAGUAUGUAAAGAACUAUGAAUGCAAUGUAUGUGAUCAAAAGAGAAUCAUAGUACUUGUGUAGAUGUUUAGUUUCCUUUCUCUCACUCAUGGCUAUUGCUUGCCCUCGUGUAAGCCGUUUGUGUAUAUUUCCGCUAGUACUUUUCUCUACUUGAAAAUGUACAGGUGAUGAGCCUUGGGCGGACAAGGGAAACUCUGUCCGUUCGGCGUCUGUUUAACGUGCUCGGGCCGGCCCAAAUUGGAUCGGUCCCGGGGCGUGACACAAGACUUCGACUCAAAUCACGAAACUUGCCAACAUAAAAUACUUAACAAGAGAGUGAGGGAGACAGUGAGGGAGACAGAGAUGAGUUCGGGCGAGGCCAGUGAGAGAGAAAGGAAAAAGGUUCCGGCAAGGAUUAGGGUAUAUUGACUAAAGGCGGUGAAUCGUUUACCGCAUAUAAAUGCGGUAAACGAUUUACCGCAUUUAAAACCAUUCACCGCUUCUAAAAUACGGUAAAUAGUUAACUGCUUUAGAAAUGCGGUAAACCAUUUACUGCAUUCUCCGUUUUACCCCGUGAUGCCCCUAGACCCACAAAUGCGGUGAAUGGUUUGCCGCAUAUGUGAAUGCAGUGAACCAUUCACCGCAUAUAUGCGUUAUAUCCCCCCAAGCCGACCUGGCCUAUUUGAAAAUCAUUUUUGCAAUAAACUUUAAAGGAGGCCUAUUUUUAUAAAUAAAAAUUUUAGAAAGGCUAUUUAUAAAAAAAAUUCAACUAAGGAGCACAUAGACUGCAUACUUCUAAUAUUAUAGUAGUCCUGCUCUAUAUUUUUUCUAUAUAAUAAUUAAAUAAAAAAUAAUAAUUUAAUAACUUAUAAUAUUAUUACGCUAAUAUACUUAUAUCCAAAUAAUAUUUUUGGAUUGCGUCCCUAUUUUAAACCCAAAAAUAACCCAACCCUAACUAAUGCGUUGAGAGCCCUAACUAAAGGCACGAUCGCCCCCUUCUCUCUCACUCGCCGCCGCUUCCUCCCUUCUUCGUCACGUGCGCUCGUCGACGGCUCUUCCGCAGCUCCGCUCCUCUGCUGGUUCGCAUCCCCCCCGCCCCCUGGCCCUGCGAAUUGCUGGUUAGAUGUCUUACGUUAUCAUCUAUUCAUGCUGCAGAGUUACAACUAACAAAAUAUAUCUCCCGACCAUAGUUAGCUAAUUCGCGAAUUAUUCGCGAAUUUUUGAAAUGCCGAAUAAAACAGCCAUUUUCGUAUUUUUCCAAAAAAUUUGAAAAAAUUUGCAUUUUUUUGGCUAAAAAUAAUUAUUCGCAAAUUAAACGCGAUUUGCUAAUAAUUCACCCCAAAAAAAGGGCUCGGUUGCUAAAGCGGACUCGUGGGCCUUGCGGGUGACCCAAAACAGAAAAAAUAACCUUUCCGAGAACCUCGCCUCGCCCUGUCGCCCCCAAAAAAAAAGAAAAAGAAAAAAGAAAACCUUUUCUGAAAAGAAUCGCCUCCCUUCGCCUUUGUUUGGUUGGGGGUUAAGGGGUGGAAUAACCACUUAACCCCUAUAUUAUCCCCAAACACCUUAAAAAAUAGGUGGGAUUAGCUAACCCCAUCUCAAAUGGGCUAUCCCGGGUUAGCUAACCCCACCUAACCCUAUCAAACCCCAACCAAAUAUUAUUUUCUAUUUAUAAUAACCCACUGCCCUUCUUAUCCCACCUACUCCAAUCACACACUAUUUUUCACUAUUCUGAACUAAUUCUAACCUCUAACCAAACACAAAAAUACUCUAAUCUUACUUAAACCCCGAACUUAAUCCUAUCCCUAAAAUAAUUAGUUUUUUCUUUAACCCUGAAUCAAACGUACCACCCCAACGUACCACCCCCCCCAAAAAAAAGGGUUUGCCCUAACUUCUCACCGCUGCGGCCCUGCUGCUUCCGACCCCUCCUCCUCCCUCUCUUCCCUUCCGGCCGCUCGCCGAACGCCAUCGGAAGCCCUCCUCUUGCCACAUCGAAGAUCGGGUUCUUCACUCUUCACAACCCUCCUCGUCGCCUCUUCCUCUUCCGCUUCCGCUCCCGCUUCCGCUUCCGCUAUCCAACGAUAGAUCAGUAAUCGAUCGGGUGGUUCUUUACAAACCAGGUACGAUUUGAGUUCUCAUUCUUCAAAGCAAAAGUUGGAAGCUUUUAGUCCAUCUGAUGAAUACUUUUUUUUUUUAUACACAAAUGGCUCGAGUGCUUAUUGCUUAAUUGAAUGUGUCCAUUCUCUGUUAUGCACAAAGAAGACCCAAACAUAGUGCUAAAUAAUCUUAAUUAACUUAGCGACCAGGAAGUUCAGAACCUCCACUAUAUUUUGAUGGAGCCUUGUGGUGCUCUUUCUAGCCAACCAGGCAACUUAUUUUUAUCCGAUCCCUGCACACAAAUCUCAGAUUCUCAAGUCAACUUAUGUAUGCUUAUAUGUGGAAUUGUGUGCUUGUAUGCUCUAUGUUUAUUCAAGCUUUUAUGUAUGCUUAUAUGUGGAAUAGUGAACUUUAUGUAUCUUUUAUUUGUUUACUGUUUAGUCUUUAGAAUUUAGAUAUGCUAGUAUGCAGUUAUGCACUAUGCAAAGUGCCAAUUUCAUCUUGUAUUUAGUUUCUAAUUAUGCUUAUAUGUGAACUUUUUAUAUUUUACAUUUAAAUAUGGACUAUCUUGAUCUCUUAUUUGCUUAAUUAUUUCUUUAUUUUGAGGCAUAAUAGUUUACUAUUUUUUUUUUUACUUAAUUAGUUUAAUUUUGUAGCUCUUUAUUCUUAUAUUCUUAAAAAAUACGAGUAUUUAUGCUAAUAACAUAAAUCUUGAGAGGGAAAAAACUUAAUUUAAUAGCCGAAUUUUUGAUCCCGAAUGUUUAAUUGGUGAACGUAUAAUAUCUGUAUAAAUCACGUAUCCGAAUAAUUGGCAAAUCCGUUUUUUAGCCCUUUUUUUCAACGAAUUUAAAAAUUAGAACACGAAUUUUAUCCGAAUUAUACCCGUACCGAAUUUUUUCCGAAUCCGAAUUAACUGACUAUGCUCCCAACUACCUAGAAAUUCAAAAAACUAGUAAAUAACGGAUACUGAAAUUUGCGUAAAAGAUUCGAACGAUAUUUGUGAUCUUAAAUGUGUAGCAGGCAAAUAACGUCCUAUAGUGCACACUUCCUUUAACUCAUUCUAAGCUGAUGUUAAAAAUGAUAGAACAAGUUUAUUAAGUGCCUUAAUGUUAAAAAUGAUGGAACAACUUCUACAAACUCAAGUUUUUCAAAUUUCUUUUAAUUUGAAAUGACUACAAUUACUAUUUCAAAGUCUAUUUUGGAUAGCCUCUCUCACUUAAUACUACAAUAAAUUGGUGUAUAGGGAGCACCAAUCAAGGCCUAUAGGUGAAAAAACGUUACUGAAGUCUGAGGACAUCAAUAUUGUUGUUGUUUUCUUUUUCUUUUUCCUCUUUUCUUUUUUUUGGCCUCACAGCUUUAAGUGUCUAGCUAUAGACUACCACAAUUAUUUAUCUAGUAAAUUAGUAAAUAAAUCAAUAUAUAAUGCAUUAGUAAAUUAGUAAAUAAAUCAAUAUAUAAUGCGGAAUAAGAAAAUGAAUUGUUGUUAUGGCCUUUUGCCAGAUCUGAAGACCGGGUGGACCAUCCAAGUGAUUCAAGAGGUCAAGAUCCUCGCAAAAAAAGGUGCAUUUUGAGGGUCUUGACGCUGUGAUCCAAGAGCUUGUUGAUCUAGGGUUUCAGAGGUCUCUUUCCCGUUCUCUCAUCCCUUUUUUCACUAUUUUUCUUCAAAUUUAUUUUGAAUUAUGUCUAUUUUGUCUAACUUAGUUGCAUUAUGUCUUAUUUGCACUAAUUCUCAUUCAUAUUUAUAAAUUCUUAUUAUAUAUUAUUAUCUGAAUAAUAUCCAAAUACUAGUGUGAUCCAUGCAAUUAUGCUUUUAGCCGAAUGGUUACGAAAAUUUAGCAUUUGACACAUGUCUGUAUUUGAAUUCGCCUCCGAAAAAAGCAUGCAAUUAUGGUUUUGUCAAAUAUCGAUAGUAUUUGACUGUUUUCACCUCUAUCUGGCCUUGUCUACAUAUUACUUCCUUCAAUAAAAUUGAGAUAGGAUUAUUAAAAAAUAUUACAAUAUUAAAUUUUUUUGGGUCAUGAGACACACACACACACAGAUAUAGAUUGUAUUUAUAUAUUUAAGGCUAUAUUAUCAAAUAUUGUUUUGCACGUUAAAUUAUGUCUUAAUUGUUCCGAGCAGAACUUUGUGAAACCUGUUUCUAGAUAUUAUUGAUUAUUGAUUAUAUUUAAUAGUGUGAUGUAAUAAGAUUAAUUUUCCUUUUCUUUUGGCCUAUAAAAUUGGCAUGAGUAUGGACCGCACCUAGAGAAGUAAGUAAAAGAUUGAAACUCUCUGCGAUCACUUAUGGGAACUUGUGCAAUUAAUAGAAAGGGUGAUGGUUACAAAAAAAGGGAAAAAAAUAAUGCGAAGAAAAACUCUAGUUGAGAACUGGCUUUUGUGCAUUUUAGAUUGGUUUGGAACCUAAAUCAAGAAAACUGGUUAUCUAGAAAAUCUGUUUUGGGAGUGGAACAGGUUUUAAUUUUAGACCUGUUUAUUCGAUUAACCCCUUCUCGGUCCAUCUCCAAUACUUCUUCUGUUUCACAAAAUUCACCUUUUUUCUUUUUGUGAUAGAUUGCCCAAUACUGAACUGCCUUCUAACAACGUGCUUUGCAGGUCCUUUCGCUCUUUCCACCAGCCUACUAUUUAAAUUGGUCCCCAACAGAUUGAGGCCUUUCUUUAGUGAAACGAGUAAAGCCACAAUGAACAACGAAGGAAGGCAGCACGACGAUGAUUCCGCCCUCACGGAGUUCCUCUCUUCCCUCAUGGAUUAUACGCCUACUGUACCUUCACUUUCUUUUCCUUCUUUUGUUUUUUCACUUGAUUUCAAUCUUUUGUAUUUCUCCCUUUGGGCUUGUUAAUCUAUGGUGUUUAUCAAUUCUGCUUGGUGUUUUGGAGGUGGGUAGAUUCCCGAUGAGCUGGUGGAGCACUAUCUUUCUAGGAGCGGCUUCUACUGCCCCGAUUUGCGGCUGUAAGCUACUCCGCCUUUUUUUUUUUUAUUGUCUCUACUUUGUGAUUACUUAUAAGAAAUCUAGUUUUAGCAACCUUUUUAAGUUAGAGAAAUGUAUGUUAAAUGCAUUUAUAAUUGUGUUCAAUUACCAGAAACAGAAAUUUCUAAAGAUUCUUUAACAGAUGGUUUUCAAAUAAUGAUUUUAUUUUGUUUGUUUGAGACUUUGACGAAGAUCUAAAAUACAAUCACAUCCUUGAGAACAAAUUAAGAAAAGGAAUUUAAAAAAUGGCAUUUUUGUCCUUUUCGUUCCGUGUUGCAAUGUAAACUUAUAUUUGAUUAUACGGUACAAGGUUGAAAUGUUGUGUUUUAUGCAUAUUCUUGAAAUCCUAGCAAUUGUUAUUCAAAAAUAGGAUUUUUUUGUCAACUAGCGUCUGCAAACCGUACAUGAUAAGUUGAUGAUUCAAUUUCGAUUAAGAUAAUCAUCUCUGCUUUUGUAACUCCGGAUUAGAUUUUUGUUCAAGCAUGGUUGCUAUCUGAUAGUAAGAUGAUUGCGAUUGCUUUUGGAGGCACUAUUUGGUUGAGGUUUAAUUUGGCAUUAUCCCCUUUAUCAAGCCGAAUGUAUCAAAAAGAGGAGAGAAAAAGACAGGCAAAGCUGUUCUGGUCAAUUUUGUAAAUUUACAAUAACUAGUGAACUACAAAUUCCGGCCAAUACUUGUAAUUUAGUGCUACUCCCACUUCAUUCCUGGUUAAUCUAGCAACCUUAGUGCAGUCAUAUAUCUAUCCCUAUUACGCAAAACCACUCACAAAGCUAAUUUACUUCUUUGUUAUCAUGGGGAAGAAGAUCCUAAUAGCUGGCAAACUUGUCCCAUGAGCCUAGUGCAUCUAAAUUGAAAGUACUGAACAGGAAAAUCCUCAUAGUUCAAAGUUUCCAUGAUUGAUGGAGGAAGGUAGUUUUAAGGUACUUUCUCACAAUUACUUUGUAGACCUGACGAUGUUUCUAUGGUUUUAAUUUUCAAAUUUAGAAUGAUAUGAUAAUAUCUGCAGAAAUAUUAGGAAAUAUUGUGCGCAUCCACUAGUUAUUAUAUAUUUAUUGGCUAUUGAUAUUUUGCUUUAACCUUUUCUGUCCAACAAAUCUUAGUUAUGAAGAUCUCCAAACCUGCUUGCAUUUCCAAAAUCUUUUUCAUUAAGAGACUUAGUUAAGCACCAUGCAUAGUGAUCGUCAUGUUGAUAUAAUAUGCUUGAAUUGAAGCCUUCUCCUUUAUUUCCAAAGGAACCUUUGCCUUGUCUUGCUUUACUUCAACCUACUGUUGAAGGCCUGAAUCAGACCAUGCUGGAAAUUUCAAGGCAUGGUAGUUAGUCAAACAAAAAGUAUUUACUCAAUUGCAUUUGUGUGCUUUUAGUGUAGAAUAUCUGUUAUUGUAGUGUUAUACUAUUUUAGAUAUUCUCAGUUAAUAUGAGGUUACUCUAUUUUAUUUUUGAAAGAUUGUGCAGACUGAUUUGUUACUCGUCUGUUUUGACAGAACAAGAUUGGUGGCUGUAGCUGCUCAAAAGUUCAUUUCAGAUGUUGCUAGUGAUGCUCUCCAGUAUGUUAAACCUCUUCUUUUGUGAUUUUAUAUUUUACCAUUGAAAUUUGCAAGAUUUUAUAAUUAUAAUGCCUUCUAAGUUUUCUUGCAUUAUUAUUGCUUGAUAAACCUUGUGGGCUUCCUAUGUAUUAGUGCCUGAAAUUGUAAUGCAUUAGUUAGCAAUACAUGUUUUAAGCUGGACAUCACAUGAUUAUAACAAAACCUUACUAGUAAACAUUAUCAAGCAUCUGUGUCAAGUGAAGCGAGUCCUCAGUUACUUGUCGAUGAAGGUUUUUGUCCAUCUUCGCCCUUGCACUUCAGUUUACUAGGUCUCUUGGGAAUUAAGAUAGUUUGUAGGUACUACUUCUAUUUGUCUUUUUUUAAGUAGUUCUAGCUUGUGUUUUGUACAUUUAUAAUCUUGAUUUUUAACUUUUGCAUGCUUUUCUUAAUACAAAAAGUUGGUAGCACAUUUUAACAGAGAAAAAUUUAACUUACGCUGCCAACUAUAUUUUGUUUGCCUGACUUUAUAUUGCAUCGUGGGUAAUAACUCAUUUAAUUUUCUCGUGCAAUCAUUAAAGUUUGCCUCUUGACAAGCCUUAGACAAUUAGCCCUGGAUGGUUAGGUUAUGCUACAUAAUAACAAUCGAACUUUCUCAUUGGGCUACAGUGAGUUGACAUAAUUAUUUCCAUAAUGAAUUACAGAGAAAAGAUUGCCUUUUAGUGGUAAUUGUAUAAAUGGGGGGCCUCUCACUAUUUUUCCCGUCAUUAGAUAGAGAUGAUAGGGCCUGAAUUUGUAUUUUUGGUCCAAUAUCCUACAAAAAAGCUUAAUCUGCUCAUCUACUCUCUUUGUUAUCUAUCUAUACUUAUCUAUACUCAUACAUUAUUCCUCAUAGAAUUCGCCACAUGGCAGUUCUUCCUUCACCUUUACCUUCUCCCCCCUUCCCAUUCCCUAAUGCUUCGCCUUCCCAUCCCCAUCUCUCUCUGAUGCUUCAUUUUCCCACCCGCCCACUUUCCAAUUAGGCCCUGUUUGGAUGGUUACUUUUUUGGAGUGAAGUAUACCUAUGCUAUGGGUGUAGGAAAAAAAUCCUAAGAGAUGUUUCGAUGCUUCAAAAACACCCCAACAAAAUAGGGUAUAGUUUAACUAUACCCUAAAAAACAGAGAAAAAGUAACCUCUAAAAUUUUCUCUGGAAAAAAAAUUACGCUAUUUUUUUUGGGCCGCCUCCCCACUCGCCCGACUUUCUCUGGCGCUUCUCUCUCCCUCCCGUUGCCCUCUCCACGCUUCCUCCCAUCCUCUCUCUCACCUGAGCUGCGUCUCUCUCAUCUCAGCCGCCGCCGCCGCCGCCGCCGCCGUGGAUCUCGGCCACCAUCGUUGCCAUCUCUCGGGUUGCCGCCGCCGCCGCUCUCCGCUGCCAUCUCGUGCGUUGCUACCGCCGAAGUCACGAUCACCUCGGCUGCCGUCGCCGUCGCACUAACCUCGGCCACCAUUUUCUUGCCUCGAUCUUGUUUCGCCCUUCUCGUCCCUCGCCUUGCGAUGGCCGGAGAAGGGCAGCCCCAUUUCCCUCCUCCAACAGGUAACAAAGAAAUGAUCUGAUUUUUUUUUUCCAAUAGGUUAGAUUUUGAUUGAUUCAUUAAUCUUCAUUAGGUCUUUAUGUAAGAAUAGAUAUCUGUAACACAUGAACUCUAUCUUCUGCCUUUCAUGGUGGCAGGAUUUAGCCAUAGUAUGCUAGCUGUUAAUUUGAGUUUGCAAUAAUUUCCUUUGUGACUCCAAAUGAGUUGGUUGAUGAUUAAAGCAGGCCAUUAGGACUUAGAUGAAGCGCUAAUUGUUUAUCCUUUUUGAUAGUUCCGACUACCCUGCAACUUGAUGAAUAACGGCGAUACUCAGAGAAAACGAGGUUUUAUACUUACAUGUAGGAUGGUUGUUCUGCUGUUUUCUCAGGAGGCAGAGCAAUAAUGCAUAGUUAAUUAUGUUAUGACUACGUCUAGUUUAUACCGGUUUCUGUUUGCCAUGGCUAAAAAAUCUGAUGAUGAAAUGUCAAGCAUGCCUGUGGCUAGAGAGGCGCCAAGAUUUAUUUGCCAGUUUUAGUUAUAUUGUUGUAGAUAUCCCAAAUUGGAUGGAAGGAGAAUCUGUGAAAAUCUUGUUAGGUGAGUCCCUUUGAUGAACUUGUUGUAUGUUUUAAAUUUGGUUUGAACCGGCUGGCUGAUCUAAUUGGUCGAACCAUUACCAAGUGCUCAGGUCAGUCCUUGUUAACACAUGAAACUCUAGGAGUUCAAAAAACAGCAUCAAGCCAAAUGUCUUUAUUCUUUAUGCUUGAUCAUUUAUCAGCUGGUCAAAAAACAAUGGACACAUUCUUAGGAUGCUAAAAUGUGUGCUUGAAGUUUAUUUUUUUGCAUUUAUAAGCGAUUAUUGGGUUAAUUUUUGGUCAGGCUAUGUUAGAAUAAAGUCCAGAUUUGGGUUUAUUUUUGUCUUCAAUUUGUGUUCAAUGUAAGCUAGAUGGUCAAUUUGUUUAGGCCCGUAGAAGCUUCAGUUUGUGUUCAAUUUAUUCCUUUUGUAAUUAUUUUGUUCAUAUUUGUAUGUAUUCAAAUAUUGUCACACAUUGUUUGUCGUGAUUAGAAUAGCCUUCUCAAACUAUUUUGCAUGUUAAGUAAACUUAUGAUUGCCUUCUCUAACGGCUAGUAAUUGGGUUUUUUUAAUUCUCCAACCGCUGGAGAUAAAACUUUCCAACGGCUAAUUUUUCAAAUUUUAAUUUUUAAAUUUUAAAAUUUAAAAUUAUUUAAUAGUUAAUAAUUUAAAUUUUAAUUUUAAACUUUUAUUUUAAAUUUUUAGAUCUUAAAGUCAUUUUAAUAGUUAAUAAUUUAAGUUUAAACUCUCAAGACUAAUUUUUUAAGAUUAUCAGAAAUUCUGUAGAAUUGUAUAAUGUGUAUCCAAACAGCUUUUAAAAUAAACUCGUGGAAUUUUUUUGGAGUUACAGGAUACUCCAUUUCAUUUGGACCAAAACUACGGUAUUUAAACUCUAUGGAAUUUAUUUAUUGCUCAUCCAAACAGGGCCUUAAUGCAUUUGUAGGUCUAUUGUUAUCUAAACAAAUCACUUUCAAAAGAAAAAAUCAGUAAAAUAAGAUCUUUUCAUACUCUUUUUUCUUAUACUAUUUGUAUUUAUUAAUAUCUCAUGGCAAGUCAAAAAAUUUUAAAACUUUUAUGUUAUCAAUUUUCUGUUUUUUAUGAUAGGGUUAUUUGCAUACACGUCCCUGCAAAAAUAGUGAAUUGCAGAUAUAUCCCUGCAAAAUGGAAACUCCAUAAGUUGUCCCUGCAAAAGUCCUAAGUUAUGCAGAUAUGUCUCUCUGGUUAACAUCCGUUAGUGAAUUGUUAACUUUUUAACAACGAAUUUAUAAAAUGACAUUUUUACCCUUACAAAUAUGUCCCUCCAAAAAUAUUCCUCUUCCCCCUUCUCUUUCUCUUCCUCUUCGGGCUGCCGGAGCGGACGACAAUGAUGGCGCUGGUGGGACUCGCCGGCGACGAAGAAGAGGGAAGAAAAAGAAAGAGAGGAAGAAGAAGAGGGAAGAGGAAGAGGAAGAGGGAGAGGGAGAGGGAGAGGGAGAGGGUUCGCCGCCGCCGUCGCAUCUUCUCCUUCGCCGGCGACGAAGAAGAGGGAAGAGGAAGAGGGAGAGAAAGAAGAAGGGGGGAGAGGAGGAGGGAGAGGAAGAGGGAGAGGGUCCGCCGCCGCCGCCGCUGCAUCUCCCUCGCCGGCGACGAAGAAGAGGGAAGAGGAGAAGAGGAAGAGGAAGAAGGGUAGAACCGUAAAUUCACAUUAUAAUUAACCAUGGUUAAGUAUUUUUACUAUGGUUAACGGAAAUUUUCUAACAUACUCUAAUAGUAGGGACAUAUCUGCAUAACUUGUGACUUUUGCAGGGACAACUUAUGGAGUUUCCGUUUUGCAGGGAUAUAUCUGCAAUUCACUAUAUUUGCAGGGGCGUGUAUGCAAAUAACCCUUUAUAAUAUUAGCCUACCGCAAUGCGCGGGUAACUUCAAUAGUGUUAUAUGAUUCUUGUGAUUGAAAGGCAGAGGUACUUUUACAUGAACAACUUCUAGGAGUAUCAAUUGCGGCGUCACGACUGAGAACUCCUAGAUUGCUUUAUCAUAUUGUUGGGAGGGACAAAUAGGUUCACCAUCAUUACUUUGCGAUUGGUAAGAUGGUACCUUGGGUAGUAUUGCCAAUACAUGUACAAUUCUAACUUUGUUAGGAUCAUUCGGAAGAGGAGAGGAUUAUUUUAAGAGAGGUGCAUCACCAACCUCUUGCUGUGGAAAGUGUUCCUUAUGUUUUUAUUACAACCACUUACUGUACAUAUGAAUGAUAAGUCAAGUAACUUUCCUAGCUGCCUUGGCAGGCAACAUUUAAGUGAACUACCUUGGAACCUAGGUGGCGUUUUGAUAACACUUCUCGAGAACAAGCUCUACAUUAGUGGAAUGUCAUCACUCGUGUGGACUUGGGACUUUGGUGGCAUUUUGAUAACACUUCCUAAGAACCUCUCUCAUUGGUAGAAAUGCCAACUAAAUUCUUAUAUUAGGCGAGAAACAUCGUCGGUCUCUCAUUUGGUCAAGUUGCUAUGACUAUAUUUAAUAUAAUUAAUAAUUUGUAUUUAUAGGAUGAAAGCAAGAUAAAAACGUGUAAGUGGCAGCAAAUCUAUGAUGUUAUAGAAAAGUUUAUUCUUCAUAUUUUUGGAAUCACAUACUCAAACUUUCCCUUAUUUGACAUUUUUCUCUUUUUGUGAGGUCAUAUCCUUUUUUUAAAAAUUUAUCUGGUAUUUUAAUAACUAAUAUAUUAUUUCAACGGACAUAAAGUAUUUGUAUUGAUUUAAAUGAUCACACUUUUAGUUGCAUUUCCUAGAGUACAUUCGAAUAGACUAUAUAUUAGUGGAAUUGUUGGAACAACUUUUUCUCCAUUAUUCCUUUCUUUGAAUUUUGUUAUCUAAAAUUAUGAGAAGACAAAUAUAGAAGUGCGAUAAUUAAAGCAUAAAUGAUUAUUUCAAAAUUUACCUCUAUAAAUUCUUUCUACUUAUAUUUACAUGAAUAGUUGGAAGUUACGAAAUCUAUGAAUUGAAAUUCAUAAUUUAAAUAUCUUAUAAGAAACUUAGGUUCCUCGGCAAUUAUUAAUUUUGUAAAAUAUAUUGAGAAUGCAAUACCAAGUGAUCUGGCAUCAUAACUUGGUUGAAAGCUAUGACAUAGGCUUGGUUGAAAGCCAUGAAAUAGGCUGUAAUUCAGUUUGUGUCCUGUUUUGCAAAAAAGACAUGUUAAUGCUAAGUUGCAUUGGAUUGGAUUAAGUAGUGAAGUUCGGAUUGCAUUGGAUUGGAUUGGAUUUAGUAUGUUACCCAUUGUGGGAAGUGGGUAUCUCCAUAAAUUAUUCAUCACCGUUUAGGGAUCAGGGAGGUCAUAAGCCUAUUCCUUUAUAUGUCGCCAUUUAAAAGGUAGAGCAGAGGUUGGCCGCCACUAAGUGCCCCACUAAUCUAGCUACUGAUAUUUUCAAGGGAGGAGAUAGCUCCAUGGUUUUCUUUCUUAUUUGCUGUGAAGGAAGAAAUCCUCACACGGGUGUUAGAACUAGGGAUUGAUUGAGGGAUUGAGGAGGGAAGUUCUAUCUCACCCUUUAGGUAGGGAUGGUAGUACCACCUCAGCUAAUAUCACUGGAGGAGGAGGAUAUAGGCUAGAUACCUAAACUAGUGAAAUAACCCGUGCUUCGCGGCAGGAUGUAAUGAUAUGAUUAUUUCGUCAUAUCUUUUUAUCAUAACAUAUAUAUCUAUAUAUAUAUAAUAUUCAAAUUAUCUUAUAGUUCUUAUUACUUAUUUCAAUAUAUAUCUGAAAUGUUAUCUAUAUUUAUGUAGUUCGAAGGUCGGAGAAGUGACAAGCAAAAUUAACAACGAUAAAAAAUAAAGUAAAACAAAUCAGCCAGAAUAUGAAAUAUGAUUUAUUGUUUACAUUUGUAUUACAAACUAUAUAUUAUUGUAGAGCUAGGCUGGUAUACUAUCGGUAGCACGGAGGCCUCCGUGCUACCAAGUUGUUUUCAAUGAUGCGGCUUCCAAAUCGACGAUCAGCUCCGUUAAACUUGAUCUACACUAUAAAAAGUAUUUGGAAACUAAAUUUCAUAAUUUUUCGGUAUCAUUUACCUAUCAAACGAGUAGUCUAAAAAUGAACGGCUGAAAAUAAAAAUCUCAUAAAAAAUGAUGAUAAAAGACUUUAAUUUAAGAUCAAAGGUACUAAUCUUACUCUAAAUAGUGAAAAGAAUUUUCUCUAAAAUUUUUAUUAGAUUUGGAUUGUUUUACACCGUUAAAUUCACAAACGCGUCACAUCUACCAUUAAAAUUGUCAAUUUUGAGACCUUUUGAUCAUUAGCCAAAUAAUGUCGAAAAAUUANCGAUUUGGAAGCCGCGUCAUUGAAAACAACUUGGUAGCACGGAAGCCUCCGUGCUACCGAUAGUAUACCAGCCUAGCUCUAUUAUUGUAUUGGAUAAUAUAUAUUAUUUAGUUAGUUGAAAAUAUAUAUUAUUUAGUUAUUUAUUCCUUUUUUUUCUUAUUUUCUGAGUUAGGCAUUGCAAGGCAAGGGUAGCAGCGCCAGUUAAAGAUAAGAGUAAGCAGCCAAAGGUGCAGGCUGAGGCCUAAUGCAAAUUUGAUGUUUCUCGUUGUUACAACUUUUCUGUAUUUUGAACAUGUUGAUGUUUGUGUUCGAGAACACUGAACAAAUUAUGCUGCAGGAUAAACGCCUUGUCUUGACAAUGGAAGAUCUUUCCAAAGCCCUGCGUGAGGUAAGUAAUCUUCUUAGUUAGCAAAUCUAUUUUUAGAUAAUAACACGUUGUUAUUUUUCUCAAGGAGAACCAUUUGUUUUCUGUUAGUAUGGAUCGAUGACGUUCUUUAAUUCUCUUGUUUAAAGAUUUUUUUUUUUAUUUAUAUUAGGAAACUGGCGAAAGGUUCAUGGCACUUCUUUUUUUUUUUUUUGUAAAUGAAUUUUUUUUGGAAUUCAGAGGCAGAGUACUGCUCUAAACAAGAGGUACUAUAUGGUGUUUAUAUAACGGAGUAAGUAGAAUCAGGUCUAUGAUUAAAAUGCCUAUCUAAGAUUUUCGUAUUAGGCCAAAUGAAUGUUUGUUCAAGACCUUAGAUGCAACUAUGUAUUGACACGGAAAGACAAUCACCAUCCUUCUCUUAGGUUUCUGCAUUAGAUGUUUGAAUUAAGUUUUUAUUUUUUUGAAUUUAAGACCUCUCCAACGUGAUUUUAUACUUGAGAGAAAUUUGCUUCAAAGACUGUCGAGCCUAUAACCCAAUUAUAUUUGCUUAAAACAGCACAACAAUCAAUGAAUAGACGUUUCCUGAUUGGAAUUCCCAAUUUUCUUGUCAAAUGCCUUCUUAUAGUUAAGCAGGUUCCUUUUUAUUGUGGUAAUAACAGUUGUCAGGGAAACUGACAUUUAUUUUCAAAAUUACUAGGUUAAAUUUUUCGAUGGGAAAAUUGGAAGGUGAUUAUUGCUUACAUUUGAAUUUCAGAUGCAUCUUCGGAUUAUGAACUCUGUAUCAACACUAAUUGUUGUGUCAUAUUUGAAAUGUAAUAUGUUUUUUGAUGUUUUAAGGAGACGCUUGAAAUGUAAUAUAUUUUUUGAUGUUUUAUUUUUAAGAAAUGAAAUAAAUGGGAACUUAGCUAAACUAAUGAAAAUCCCUAAGAUCUUUGGUUUCUCAGUUUUUCUAUAUCAAUUUGAAGUUAAAUAUUAAUACUCUUUACCAAUAUAGGGAAAUUGUUUUGCACUUAAACUCCCCCUCAAUAUUCAAAAUAUGCAGAAAACUCUCCUCAACUUUAUGUGUUACUUAAUCCCUUACGUAAUUUUACUGUCUAUAAAACGUUAGAAAAUACCAAGAUGUUGUUCAAGUAUGAACUAUUAAUUUUGCACGGUGAUAAUCUGGUGUCUAGGCAUCUCUUCUUGCCCUCAUAAAUAGAACUUACAACUGCUUUUUAUUUUAUGAUCAGAAAAAUGAAAAAACAAUCUGUAAGCGGAUCAAAAAGCAAGAAAGGAUAUCUGGAAUCUGGAUAUCACUUUCUCCAUACAACACAUAUAUUAGUGUUUGAAAUUAUAUUUUAUUAUUUCCUAAUGUUUUAUGAGUGAUUAAUUAUGUAAGGGAGUUAAGUUAUGGCAACACAAAAAUUGCAUGGGGGCCUUCUACAUAUUUUAAAUUUUGAUGGGGGCGAAGUGCGAAACAUAAGGUUUUCUAUACGUUAGCCUAAAUAAAAUGAUUAUUGACUAGAUGAAGUAUCCAUACUUUGAGAGUGUUUAAAGGGAUACAUGACAGAGCAUACAUAAUGCUUGAAGUUUAGUACCUUACCUCUGAAUUCUGUAGUUGUAGGCAUUUACGAAACUUUGCUAUGUUCAAUACAUUUCAUUUAGCUUGUUAGACUUAAACAAAUAAGUAGUAGUAAUAUAUAGAUGCAUAAAUAAAUAUAGAUAGCCUAAUAUUCCUUUUACAGGAUCACAUUAAUAAUGUAACUCUAUGACCUGUAUGAAGAAGUUGUCGUUGAAAUAGAAGAUGCUACAAUCACAAUCCAGAAACUGUUGCGAUAUGAUCAAGCUCAAUGGGGAGAUGUUCAAUCUUUUGUUAGCAUAAUUCAUGCGUCAGGGCAUUGGAUGAGCAAAAUUGAUUGUGUUGAUGCUUCUGUUGUGCAAAAGCAACUCUAAACUAUUAAAUGCCUAAUAUUCUCUAUUAAUAACGAGCAUGCCAAAAUUAUUACGACAAGGGAUCAUGAGAUUAAGGGAUCAUGGAAUUUUGUUUUAUGUGAAGCGGUCACAAUUUUUAUUAUUGUCUCUUUUUUACUUUGUUUGUUCAUGUUUUUCUAUAUGUAUAUUAUUAGUAGCUGUUUGUUGUUUUUUAUGCAUUGAUUGCGCAUUAUCUCUUGGAUCUUCUCAUACAUCCAAUUUGCAUUGCAGUACGGAGUGAACUUGAAACACCAAGAGUAUUUUGCCGACAGCUCCUCAACCGGAAUGGAUCCUGCUUCAAGGGAGGAGUAAGUAACGAUCAAAUCCCUAAAUUAGAUUGAUGCCCUUUGUGUGGAAAGGGGCUUGCGCCUAUGCCUCAGCCGUUUCGGCAUCAUGAUUCAACCAAGUACAGCUUGAUGCAGUAUUAAUUGUUACUUUAGCUUAUAUAUGUUUGCAGAAAAUAGUUUUGUAUCAUUUCGUCAUCUCUUUAGUAUCUAAAUUUUGGAGCAUAUGUUUGUUUACCAAGCUAUUUAGGUGACACUAUAGAAUACUCAAGCUUGUAUGUGCUUGCAGAAACUAGUUUUGUAUUAUUUUGUUGUCUUUUAACUAUCAAGAUUUUACAGCAUUUGUUGGUUUACCUCCUCUUGUAUCACAAAGCUUCACAUGUUUAAUAUAUUUUGAUUAAUUUUUGCCGAAUAUUUGUAUACUAAGUCUUGGGCAUCAAUAAGCUUUUGUUGGAUAAUGUUGUGUAGAGUUUACCUUUAUACAUUAUUAAUGAAUUUGCAUGAGAGUUUGAUUUCUUUUAAUUGAUUAAUUAAUCUGAAUGUAAUUUUUUUCUUCUGUGAUUACAUAUUUCUUAUUGUUCUUGUUCUUAAACAAAAACCAUAAUGCAAAGAAACAAUACCAAGAGAAAUUAACUUCUCAUUACUUGGUGCUUUUGACCUUAAGGAACUUGGAAAGGAAACAUGAACAAAACCUAGAGUCCCGUACAUUCUUCUGAUUUUUUCCAAAAUGAAUUGAAUAUUUGAUCGAUUUGUGUAGAAGCUUGAUUUGAUCGAGUUUAUAAAUGAAGCUGAGAAAAUGCUUCUGAAACGACAAAACUAUCUGCCUUUGUGAACCAUGAUGAAUGAGGGAUUUAAUGAGUGAUUUUGCCAUAUUUUUCUAAUUAUUCAAGGAAAUUAGCUUGAAUGUUUAGCCCGUUUUUCAAUGUCGGAACAAGUUAUACUUAGUGGUAGCAACAAUUAUGUGAUUAUAAGUUAAGUGUUUGAUUUUCACGUCUUGAAAGGUUUGGCAUAUGUGAUUUGGUGCAGUAGUAGUGUAUCUUACUUACGAGAUAAUUUAUUUUAUUUCGGAAAAAUGAGUGGACAGUCAAAUGUGAUAUGCCUUUCUGGAUAUUUGAUCGUAUUCCUCUUUUAUAAAAUGCUAUAAUUUUGUGAAUAGAUGAAAGAGAUGCGGUGAGCGAGAUAUUCCUGCAUCUAGAGACAGCAUUCAAAGAGUAUUUUCCUUGGUCCAUUUUAGAGUUUAGCUAUCAUGUUGGGAGGAGUAUCAUCCUCACAAAUGGUUUAUUAUAUUUGUGAUCCAAUGAUCACCCUCAAUGUACAAUCACCAUUUUUGUCAGUACUGGAGUCUAAUUGAACAUAUACACAGUUGGAGAACAUUUUAGUGGCAAAAUGAUUUAGCAUCUUAGAAUGCUUUCUAAUAAAGGAAAAAGUCCAUGUAGUCUCCAUUCAUGUUUCUUGGUCUGUAUCAGUAGUAGUAGUAGUAGUAGUACUAGUAGGCUGGUCGAUGGUCAUAUCUAUCAUUUCAACUCUCCGGAAUAAAUCCUUAGCUUUCUUAAAGGGGAGUCAAUGUGGACACUCUGGAAAUACCUGGGUUUUGAGUCAUUCAAAACUCGAAAUAAAAAACCUUGUAAAGUGUGGAAAGGGUUUUAGAGAAAAAAAAAAAGAAGAAAAAUUUCAAAGCUAUGUGGCAAGAAGUGUAAAUGGGCAAAAGCUGUGCAGUUUUUUUUUGAGGGAUUAACAGGGAAUUUGUUUUGAUAUUGAUAGAUAAAUUAUAGAAGUUUUUAGCCAACUAAUCUCAUUCAAACCUUUUAUUCUAAAAAUAAGCCUCUAAAAUUUAUAUUUGUGAAAAUAGGCUCAAAAUUGCCACGUAGGCACUGAGCUAGCAGCAGAAAAUUAAUAGCGGUGAUGGUUCACCGCUUUCAUAAGGUUUUAAAAAUUCCAUAAAAGCGGUGAACCAUUCAUCGCCUUCAUGUAGUUCACCUAAUUUGUUCGUGCGUGGAUAAAAUUUAUGAAGAUGGUGAAGGAUUCACCGCAUAUAAAACCGAUGAAUAAUUCACGGCUUUUAUAUGCGGUGAACCAUUCACUGCCUUUAUAUGCGGUAAAUGGUUUACCGCAUAUAACUAAUUCCAUUGCUAGACAGUAGCUACUUUGCAAAAUUUUCACAUUAUACAAAAUAGCAAUAUUUUCAAGCAUUUCAAUUACAGUAAUAAAUACAUAAAAUCAUUUAUGCCAACUUCAUCCGUACUUUAUGCAUAUAAAAUAAGCUAUACCAAUAUCAACACACUUCAAUUUGAAUAAAUUUAGAUAAUACUAUAAAAAAUCAAUAUAGAAAGAUUUGAAAUAUCAAAUAUACAUAAGAAUCCAAAAAAUGAUAAAAAAAUCAAGUCCCCUCCAUCCCCCUCUUAUGCUCGCCUUCGUCCCCUACCACGUUCACGUCCGCAUCCACGAUUGCCUCAUUGACUCCGUCCUCGAAUAUGCAUGUCAUGCUCCAUCUCAGGCUGCACGGACUCAAUAACAUGCAUUUGAUCAAUGUGCUCGAUGGCGAUGCCCUCGACAAUCGACUCCAUCCUUUGCUCAACAGCUGAUCGUAGUAUCCCUUCCUAUGUCUCAAUGUGACCCUGUCGUCGUCGCGUAUGUUGAUAUACGACAUCAUCGCGACGAACUUGCGAUGUGGAUGGAACAUCAGAAGGAUGGAAAGACAUGAAUGAAAUAUCAAAAUAGAAUAUGUCUGACGUAGAUGGAAUAUAAAAUGGAGGGAUGGAUGCUGACGGGAUAUCAAACUGCACUUCCGAUGUCGAAGGGACAUCAAAAGUCGAAGGGACAUCAGAUAGAUGAAUUGGGACGGAUGUCGAUAGAAAAUCAAACGCAGGCAUGGAGGUAGAGGGAAUAUCACCGAAAUCAUAUGCAUGCAUGAAGGUGGAGGGAAUAUCACCGUAAUCAUCGAAAGUCUGAGAAGAAAUAUCCGGAUGCCCUAUCACGGGUAAUAUCGGAAGGCUCUUUAACACACUCUCGAGGUCCCACCUUACAUAUGCUUGAGUAUCUAUCAUUCUAGAUGGCUCCGGAGGAUCAUCCAUCAAAUAACCAAUACUGCUAACAGCAUGCCACAUAGCAUCCACCUAUAUAAAAAUACAUGAUUAUAUAUAAUAAAUAUCCUUAUAUUAAAAUAAACUAUAAAAUAAAAUUAUCUUACCAAUCUUCGCUCGAUAUGCCCACAUGGCAGAAAAGUAAGUGGAGGCCGCUAUACAGGACGAGAAAUCCACCUCCUUGUAAUUCUCCAAUACCACUGCAUGUACACAGAGGUGGCUCGUAUCAAAUCUAGAUCGAUGAAAGGACUCUGCUCCGCAAUAUGCACCAGACGAUUUGCCCAACGUUGAAUAUAUGGAGCAUGAAACGCUGCCCAGUCCUUACCUUAUCUACCCUGCAAUGUGAUUCUCUGUAUAGCUUCUACGGGAUCCGGUAUAUGUUGCAGUAAUCGAAACUAAUGCAGAACUCUAUCAGAUAGAUGUAGCUCCACAAUAUGAUAGCAUAUCAAGUAAGUUCUCGAACACCAGACUGCAGAGCCUUCGAGACAAAAUGCAGGAAGACUGUUCAAAACAUCCUCCGUGUAGAGCAUCCAUAUAACCUGUACAAGUGUAUUAAAAAAAAAUAAAUGUAAGAUUUUAGAAUGUAUGUGUAUGUAUUUAUUUCAUGAAAUUUAUAUGUACUUGUGACUCUCUCUCUCUGCUAAUCUAGCUCCUAGCGGUAAAACUCAAUGUCAGUCACCCUGACAUUUCCACGAAAUCGCAAUCCCGUGUUCCACCUGCAGAAGUGAUUAGUAGUAUAUUUUAUUAUUUUAUAAUACAUCAAUACAUUAUCAAAUUUUAUUAUUUUAUUAUAUUAUAUUUAAACACAUAGCAUACCGACAACCCAAUCGACAAUCAUGGAGAUCCGGUGAAGCUCCAACUCGAUCUGGACGCCUAAUGUGUAUAUGGUCCCAUGCCCAUAUCUAAGAACUAAAAAAGUUAAUUAUAAAAUUAGUCAAAGAAACUAAGUUAUGAUCGUGAUAACUAGUGAAAUAGUGAUUUGAUCUGUAGUAGUGUACCAAAGGCACAACAUUCGGCCUUUCCCUUCAUAGAGGCAUUUCCUAAUGCCCGAUAGAGAUGGUCCAAGAUAGCUGCGCUCCAAGUUAGGCCUCCGCAGAAGUCAAAAUUUUCAAGUAGCGGUAGCCACUUGAGGUGAACUCGAUAUCCGGUGGGGUUAGGAAAUAAACUGCAUCCAAUUUAAAAUAAAAUGUAUGCUCGCACAAAUGCUGCAACCAUGGCCGGCGGAGCAUCCAAAAGAACAUGCUGGGAAUGCUGAAACAACCACUCCAAGCGGAUCUGGCCGGCGACGAUAUCAUCUAGCUGUAUCCCAAGAAGGUGCUCACAUGUAUGCAACAAAUCAAAUGAAGCACGUCCCAUAAUAGGCUCCUCGGAGACUUGUAGUCCAGCUGUAACGGCCACGUCACGUAGCGUAACUGCCAUCUCUCCGUGACGUAGGUCUCGCGCCUCCAUCACUCUAUCAACGCUCCUAAUAGAGCCUGAUCAAGCUGUACUCAUCUGAGGCGGGAGACGUAGAAAAAUCCAGCAUGCCGUAAAUGCUCUAUCACUCCCGGAUUGCUUGACUGUCCAUGUAUUCAAUUUACGGCCAUGCUCCAUAAACUAAACUCGCACAUACCUUUAUAUUGUUUAUUCACUUUUUAAAAAGUUUCCCUUUUAAGUAUUUAAAUUACAAACUUUUAUGUACAUGCAUAACUUAACAUACCUCUGAUCGCACGUAGCGUGAACGAUGCCUAGCCUGGUCUGAUAGAACUGAUGGAUCAACUGACCCGGGAUCCUUGUGAUCGUCCAUCUGCAAAAUAAAGUAUACAAAUUAGUGACUAUUAAUUGAACGUUAAAAGAUAAAUCUAAAAAUAAAAAUAGUGUAGAUAGUCAAACAUAAGUCAUCAACCUAAAGCUCUACGUCUACGGCCUUCAUUUGUUCUAUGUUGAUUAUUUGGACAUGUAGUCCUAUAAUGUUCUUGUUGUUUACAAAUAGUGCACAUAGUUCUUCGCAUUCCUUCACUCUCGUCUAUGGCGUUUCGAAUACGAGUUGAUUGCGGACGGCCUUUCUUUCUCCUGAUAGGUGGGGGUGCCAGCGGUGGUCCUUGAGGGCGUGGCCAGCUUCUUUUGUCUGGGACGGUGAAAUUGCGAGAAGUAAGCACCACGGUAAUACUCACAUGUAUAUUUUUCCAUUCAGAACAUAGACUAUAGUAGUCAAUGUUCAUUUGACCGUUACUGCAUACAGCUAGAAGAUGUGAGCAUGGCAACCUAGUGAGCUCAAACUCAUUGCAUGAACAAGUCGGGCUUCUCCCAUCAAGAACCAUCUCAAAUUUUUCAUUUCCGGUAGUAAUUUGAAACUCGUUUACUUUGAAGCGAUCACACGGUGUCCUCUUGCGAUUAUCAUAUAACUCUUAAUUAGCGCCUCCUGUUUUGGUGCCAACACUGUAGAGUAUGUUUGUAGUACACUGAACUUGAGCAAAUUGCGAAGUUCGAGUGUGGGGAUGAUAAUUGGAAUUAGCCGACAUCUUCUAAAGGGUUUAGAGAUAUUUGUAGACAAGUUUGAGAGUGAUUAGGCCACUGGAAGCGAGGAAGUGCAUUGCUACUGCAGUUUCUACACUUUCUGCAUUGUUGUACUGGUACAACAUUGAGUCUGUAUCGGUACAACAAGCAUUAGCAGCAGCAGCUGCGUGGUAGCAGGGAGAAUUUGGUCUUUUUACAUCUCAAGUUUAUCUCUAAUAUCCCUACACGACACUAGCAGCUGCUUUGAAGGUGCUAGAGCUUUGAGAGGCAGGGUAGAAGGCUUCUCUUCUUCUCUCUCCAGAUUUCUCUCUCUUAAUGCAUGGAAUGGUGGGUUUGAGCUUAAUUUCUUCUCCUACUUGAUGCUAGUUGGUUUGGAGCCUUGAAGAAUAGCUUCUGGAGCUGAGGGGGAGGCGUUUUGAUAGUGUUUUUCAAGUAUCUCACAAGGAAUAGCUGAGAGGGAGCUUUUGAAAGGUAAGUAGCUCAAUUUUCUCCCUAGCUCGAUUAGUAGUUUGGGAUUUUGAGUGUUUUGAUCCCUUGCUGUCAGCCACGGUUGAGGGAAGUUCCAGCAGCAAGAGAAGAGCUUCUUUGCUGUAAUUUCUAUACCUUAGUUCAAGGAAGAAGCUGAAUUGAAGCUUUAAGAAGUAAUUAGCUGAUUACUUAACCUUUUUGAUACUAUACAAGGUUUAAUAGUGACUAUUGAUGCUGAUUUCGAGUAUAUUGUUGACAGCAACCAUGAACACCACUUGAGCUGAGAUUAUGACCUAGGUGAGCUGGUUUGGAAGUAUUCCAACCCUCAGGGAGUGGGAUUCCAAGUUCAGAAGUUGAAUAAGUGAGAUUUUAACCUAUAUUACAUAGAGUACAACGGUAUUGAGGCUGUUUUGAGGCUAAUUCUGUAACGACCCAGCCCACUAGCAAUAAUAACUCGUUGGGCCCAACCACCGGCCCAAAAUAUUUAAGCCCAGUUAUUAUUACUAGUGUCUAAGUCUCUUAUAAAGACAAUGAUAAUUCCAUUCCCAUCCGAUGUGGGAUUAUUAGGGUGUCACAGACUCCCCCCGUUAAGGCCCUGACGUCGACGUCAGUCCAAUCACACACACAGCCCAAGAUCACCAGGCGAUGUGAGACUCGUCUCGCUAGCCCGUCAACCAGACCCUGGCUCAGCCGAAACUCGCCACACAUUGGACGUCAGUCCAAUCACACACACAGCCCAAGAUCACCAGGCGAUGUGAGACUCGUCUCGCUAGCCCGUCAACCAGACCCUGGCUCAGCCGAAACUCGCCACACAUGUCCAGCUGGUGAACCGGCUCUGAUACCAAAUGUAACGACCCAGCCCACUAGCAAUAAUAAUUCGUUGGGCCCAACCACCGGCCCAAAAUGCUUAAGCCCAGUUUUUAUUACUAGUGUCUAAGUCUCUUAUAAAGACAAUGACAACCCCAUUCCCAUCCAAUGUGGGAUUAUUGGGGUGUCACAAAUUCGCAGCAGGUUUUGCCACAGGUUAUUAGAUGGUUCUCGGUUGAUUUCUGGGAGCUUGCGAAGGUUGAACUUAGUGCCUUAACCUAAACCGAAGCAGGGAUUAAAGCUGUAGCCUAGGGAUGUCAAUGGGUAUGGAUACGCGAAAUUUUAUCCGAACCCGAACCCGAAUGAAAACGGAUAUAUCCGAUGGAUGUGGAUAUGGAAUCGGAUAUGGAUAUAAAAAAUAGAAACCCGACGGAUAUGGAUUCGGAUAUGGAUUUUGAUUGUACUCAUAUAUAUAUAUAUAUAUUUUAUGUUUUAUUUAAGCCCAAACCCAGCCCAAGCCCAAGUCCAAGCCCAAGCCCAGNNNNNNNNNNNNNNNNNNNNNNNNNNNNNNNNNNNNNNNNNNNNNNNNNNNNNNNNNNNNNNNNNNNNNNNNNNNNNNNNNNNNNNNNNNNNNNNNNNNNUAAAAUAGAAGUGAAAUCUCAAUAUAGUCCUAAUUCUCAACAAUAUAUUUCAUCAACAACAUCCAUGCAUACAAUCAUAACCAACCAAAGCCAAAAAUAGAUUAUUGAACCUACUACAUGCAAUAUAAGCAACAAAAUCAUUAUCAACCCUAUAGAACAUAAGCAAGAGGCAAAGACUCAACUUAAACUGAGACAAUAGAAGCUGCCCGAAUACUUCGGGAUGCAUCCCCACCUGGGUACCGGAACACUCCCAGACGCCCUUGCGCUACCUUGUCGCCGCUUAAGUCGUGGUCACUUAACCCUUAUCGCUGUAAAGCAAAUCUUUAGCCAGCUCGGACGACACCUUCUUCGCCUACGCGUAAAACAUAGCAAAGUUUCUAACACCUCAAAAACAAACCUCACAUUAACAAAAUCCCCAAAAUCUAACCCUAGGUUAGAUCCAUGAAAGCUAUGGAUGCAUACUUUCAAGUAGCAAAUCCAUGUCUCUUUAAGCCAUUAUCCAUUAACCAUCAAGAACAACAAAAACCAUCCAAACCCUAGAAAUCAACCAAUACCAUGAAGGCUGACUACCUAGGUCUUGCCCAACAGCCUAGGUCAAAAACACGAUAAGAAGGGGGGCCCUCAAAAACCCUCUUCCCCUUCUCUCCCUCCUUUUAAUCCUCUCUUUUUCCUUCUUUUCCUGUCUUCUUUUCUUCUCCUGUUCUCCCCAACCGGUUAAGAAAGAAGAACUAAGAGAGAGGGGCUGUGAGAAGAAGGCAGAGACUAGAUGGAGGGGGGGUAAUACCAAUUAACAAAAGCAAAAGCCCUACCUUACAGAUUCAAGCUUAACCCGCUGCCUCCCCGCGCUCGGUGUACCCGACAAGUUCCUACCGCUACCCCUGCAAACGGCCAAACCCAGACAAACCCGAGGCGCCCAGCCGGCAGCGAUGGCGAUCCUGGUACAGCCAUUCAUUCUUACCGUACACCAGCUCCAGAAAGCUGUUUCUCGAUCUGUUUCGAUUUCUUUUCGCGUCCAACAACGCUAAAACUAUUCCAACACUUUUGGAACUCAUUUUUACUCUUCCAAACAUGUUGAAAUACCAAAUGGGACUUGUCCCAAACUUUCGUUUGCUCACUUUGGUCCAUUGUGCCAAAGUUAGCCGAUAUCGUCGAAUUUUGAUAUCUUACACAAUCGGAGAGGACGAUACAAAUACUUGAGGAUAUGCUUCGAGCGAGUGUACUUGACUACAAGGGCGGUUGCCACAAUCAUCUACCGAUGGCGGAGUUCGCGUACAAUAAUAGUUAUCAAGAGAGUAUCGCGAUGGCACCAUUCGAGGCCCUUUAUGGAAAGAAGUGUCGCUCUCCAAUCCAUUGGAGCGAUGUGGGUGAGAGAGCGGCUCUCGGCCCCGAUGUAGUGCGGGAAGCGGAGGAGAAGGUUCGCCUCGCCCGCCAACAGCUGGCUACAGCGCAAUCCCGGCAAAAGAGCUAUGCCGACAGACAGAAGAAGGAUAUAGAAUUUGUCGUUGGAGACCACGUGUUCCUAAAGGUAUCGCCGAUGCGAGGAAUUAGACGGUUUGGGCUCCGGGGGAAGCUAAGUCCCCAGUGCCUCGGACCGUUUGAGGUAUUGGAGUGGGUCGGCGCGGUGGCGUACAAGAUAGCAUUACCACCGAGGCUUGCGGGAGUGUAUGAUGUAUUUCACGUAUCGAACCUCCGCAAGUAUGCUCACGACCCCGAUCAUGUUCUCUCGUUCGAACCGUCCGAGAUCCAAGAGGACAUGACCUAUGAGGAGUUCCCGACAUACAUCAUCGAUCGAGAAGUAAGAAAACUACGAAAACACGAGAUUCCGUAUGUUAAGAUUCGUUGGUGCAAUCACGAUGAUUGGGAAGCUACUUGGGAGCUCGAGAGCGUAAUGCGGAAGCAUUAUCCUCAUCUCUUUAACGAGCUGAAUUGAGGUAUGAGUUUAAGUCUAAAUUAAGCAAGUUUCGCGGACGAAACUAAUUUUAAGGGGUGGAGAAUGUAACGUAUCGAAACCUCAAUAGCGAUUAUCGAACUUUAACCAAAUUGGUUAAAGCGCCGAAACAAAUGGUUGGAUAAGUUCCAUUUUGCAUUCCAACAAGGUUGGAAGGACCAAAAUGAGUUAAGAAGUGUUGGAAUGGUUUUGGCAUUGAACGACACGAAGUAGAGUCAAGUCGAAACCAAAACAGCAUUCUGGAGCAUUGUGUACCGGUACACCAUGGUGGUUGUACCGGUACAGUAAGCGAUCACAGGCUGCUCUCGGGUUUGGGUAGCCUGGGUGGUGUACCGGUACGGGACCCCGUGUACCGGUACACACCCUGCAAAAACAAGAGAGUUUACUCUCGGGUUUGGGCCUCUGCGCAGGUCCGUACCGGUACACAAACCCGCGUACCAGUCCACAGCGGCUCUAGUAGCAGGGAUGAGUCUGCUGCAGAAUAGAGAGUUGAGGGGUCUAGUUGCUAUUGUUGCAACAUGUUAUUACCCCUACACCCUCUUCCCCUCACAGCAGCACCCCAACUCCCUCUCUUUCUCUCAUUUCUCUCUUCAUCUCUCUAGAACUCUUGGGCUAAGGGCUUGGAGAAGAAGGAGAAAAAGCUUAGAGAAGGUGGUUUCGGAGCUUUGGUGGUUCAAGAAGCUCUCCUACAAGAAGGCCUUGGUAGAGCUUGGGACAAGAGGUAAGUUUUUGCAAGAUAUCUUCUAGGGUUAGGAUUUAAAUCCAAAGUUUUGGAGUUUGAACUUCUUAGAGGUUUUAGAAGCGUGUUAGAGCCAUGAACACCAUGAAACCCUAGUUUUCUUCAUGGUGCUCUAAUGGGGGAUUUCUAGAGUUUGCAUUCUAAGCCUUAGAGAUGGUUGGGAUAGUUCUAAAUGAGCUUCUAGAGGUUAGACAAGCUCUCUUUUGCUUGUUCUAGAGAUCAAAACCUAGGGUUUAGCAAUGGGUUUGGUUAGGGCACCAAAUUUGGGGCUUUUGCCCUAGAUUUUUUCGGGGGCGAAUUCACCCCGUAGAAACCUAAUUGGGGGUGUCCUCAACGCAUGGGAGAACUCCGUUUAACGUUACGAAAAGGUUUAGAUGGAGUUAUUGAUAAAAAGCUUAAUUCGGCUUCGUUUUGCCGCAGGCGAAAAAGUAAAGCUUCAAAAAUUCCAAGAAAUUCACCGUAGCAUCCUCUCAACCUUCUAAAGUGGGUGGUGCAUUCCAAGGACCUCGGAAAUUCCUUUAUGUCUAAGUGUCAUGUUUUGAGCAUAUAUACAUAUUUGAGCAUAUUGCAUAAUAGGGUUAAAUAGUGAACUUUUUAUAACAUGAUGUAAAUUCAAAUACAUGUUAAAUACUUGGAAGAAUGUGAGAAUGAUAAUCCCUAUGUAUGCAUGAACGUGACAAGAAUCUAGAAGGGUUAGUAAACAAAAGUAACACCAUGACAUAGAUCUAACGAGUGGCAUCGAUGAGUCUAGAACACUUAGAAAACAAGUAUGGCAUUUGGCAUGAGAACAAGAACAUAGCACUUAGAAAACAAAUGUGGCAUGAGUACAAGAACUUGGCAGUGUAUAUGACACUAGUGAUAGUAAAGAAUGCAAAGAAAAGAAUGAUUGAGACAUUAUGACAUUUCAACCUUAGAAUUAAGGGUCAUUUGAGCAUGGUCUUCCUUAAAGUUAAGGAAUGGAUGAACUUGGAAUCCUCAAUGUAGGAUUGAUCGUACUCACCUUUAGUCCUUGCUUGAGGGUGGUAGCUCCUCCUCGGGCGAUGUGCUCCAGAGUUGACAUCACUGGGUUGUAGCGGGUAUCUCCCCAGAGGACAGUCCUAUCGGGUUUUAGCGGGUAUCUCCCCGGUUAUUAGGAUUUUGGGUUGGUGAGUUUGUUGAAGGCGAAACCUACGAGUUAGCCAAGAGAUUCGAUAAAGAAAUUGUGAUCCUGCAUUCAUCAUGAGCAUUAUAUCGAGCAUCGCAUUUUAUAUUGUUCAAGCAUAUUAGUUCCAUUUGCUAGUUGGUUACUUUCUUUCCUCUAUUCUAUUAUGCCUUAUUAGACCUAGUGGGAUAGUCGGCGUGGUUGGUUGCCGAACCCACUGAAAACUUUGUUGUAGUUCUCACACCCCUAUUUCUACAGAGCCGGGACCGAGCGAGCCGGCUGACGAUCGCGGUAAGGGCAUCGCGCCCUAGUUAGAGACCUCCCGAGUAGUUAUCAUUUUGUAGUCGCAUACCCUCUACUUAUACAUCAUCUUUUGUAUUUAUACAUCAUCUUUUGUAUCUUGAUGAUUAUGCUAUUAUGAACAUGUUAAAUGAAUGAUGUAAAAAGAGUUUAUAUUUAAAUGCAAGAAUUUAUAUUUGAGAUCAUGCCAUGUAAAAGAGAAGAAAUGAUGCAAAAUUGUAAUUGAUUUCCUAAGUGUAGUUUAUUACUUUCACUAUGGGCUAUUGCUUGCCCUCGUGCAAGCCAGUGUGUAUGCUUCCGCUUAUGCAAAUUGUUACUCUAUUGAUACUUGUCGUUGAGCCUUGGGUGGACAGGGAAGGCUCUGUCCGUUCGGCGUCUAUUUGACGCUCUCGAACCGGCCAAAAGGAUCGGGCUCGGAGCGUGACAUACGAUCCUAUCAUACAGUGCUAACUAUAUAAGAUAACUAUGAAGAUCCAUUUAUAUAGUUCUAAUUGUUUUAUGUCGAAUGGAAUACCUAUAGUGGACUAAAAUACACCUUUAGCAACAUAAAGGACAAUACUGAAGGAAAAUGAAAUUGUCUCAUUAUACAGACAAGCAUCUGCCUACAGUAUGAUGCAUCAAGCAGGUGUAGACAAUGGCUUCAAGAUGAACGGUGUCACGCCCGGAGCCUCGCCUAUUUGGCCGGUUCGGGCACGUCGAACAGACACCGAACGGACAGCACCUCCCCUGUCCACCCAAGGCUAACCACAAGAUCAUGUACAAGAAUUUGUCCAGGAAUAAUUC
RNAcentral lists this long non-coding RNA (51636 nucleotides) under Ananas comosus (pineapple). RNAcentral's name for it is "long non-coding RNA (ACOM_LNC028098)". The record is from RNAcentral. Lineage: Eukaryota; Viridiplantae; Streptophyta; Magnoliopsida; Poales; Bromeliaceae.